UCUUUGAAUAUCUUCAUAUUCAUUUAGUCACGUUUGCCUCUUAUGCUGGCAUUUACGUAUUUGUCCAUUUCUUAGCGAGGUUGGUAUAUUGUACAUGAUUAACUUACCAAAAACUGCCUUCCCAUUAUGCAAACCGCAUAUGGUUGAAUAAUUGACCCUUCCUAUUCACAAAUUCUCACAUAAUUCCAUGGCUAAAAUUUAAUUCGGCCGCCAUGAAUGGAAACAAAUACUACCAUGGUCAAAAUUUUGCAUUUUAUACACAUUUAAAAUUUAAAUUUUAGCCUGAUUUCAUUGAUUAAUACGCAAAGCUGCAUGUCUAUUCUUCAUAUGUAAGCUAGUAGAGUUUCAUUUGUACAUGACUAGAUGUUAUAAUUCUGUACAUAGCUAGCAAGCCAAGCAAGGCCAGCCUGCCAUGGAUACAGCACUGGUGCGGAGCACCACUUUGCGGUUGAGCCACCGUCGCGCCCACGGCUACGAGCCCUUGAAUCAAGCUAGUGAUCAUGCUUGGAGAAGAAAGGAUGGUGAUAAUGGUAGCCAGAGAACAUUUUCUAGGCCAAGGAGGAGUGACAAGGAGCAGUAUAGCCCUUAUAGCAUGGCGGAUUCUUUUGGCCAGAGAGCAUUUCCUAGGCCAAGGAGUCAAAAGCAGCAGCACAGGCAGAGUCCUGUGAUGAUGAACUAUUCUUUUAGUUAUAGACGUAAAAGGGCUAGGCAAAGGCAGAUUUUUCUCCGAACAUACAAGUUGGGAUCCAUGGAUUCUUCACGCAAAUCUGGGGUGCGGAAGCUGAAGAAGUUUGUAGUCAAGGUGAAAACGGUUGUAGUUUCGGUAUUGUCGUUCAUGCGAGCUGAUACUCUGAAAUCUUGCAAUUCUGGAUCGGCCAUUUGUGCAUCCUCUCCUUCAAGAAUUGCAAGGUUUUGUUGAAGUUUCAUUAAUCAACUAUUUAUUUGGGUGAAAAGACAGAGAUGUCCAAUUCUCUUUUCCUGUUCAUUUUCAAAAUUUGCAAGUCAGUUUAGAAGUCCUUUUCCUUUUUUUUUUUUGGUUGCUUUUCUUUGUAUUUUUAGGGUUUUUAGGUCAUAAGGCCUCAAUAUGCUUUGGUCUAGUAAUGUAGUUCUAUUUCCUGUUGGAUGGCAUGUUGAAUCAUAUUUGGGAAAUUGCUUUUGAAUCUCCAAUUUGGUAGGUUAAGAUAGGAGUAGUAGUCAGAAGAAAAGGUUUUAAAAAAAAAAUGUUAUGGGCUGUAGACCGAAUGUUUGUCUUUGACAAGAAUAUAUAUCAGGAAGAAUAAAUUCAAAAGAAACCCUGUAAUUGAUCAGUAUUCCCAUUUCCUGUUGCAUGGAUUUAGAGAAGACCUUGUGAUGAAAAUGCUCCAAAAAAAAAAAAAAGGCUGGAUAAGCAAAAUCAUCGUUUCUUGUAGAUUUGGUCAAGAUCAUCUGAGGAAUUUAUGAAUGAGUAAAGUUUAACUGAUAAGAGGCGGCGCAAGAAAUGCCAAAUGUUGUUGAUCAAUCUCUCUAAAAAUAGCCAAACUAAUGUAGCAUAGUGCAUUGAUCUCGGGUUAUCCGUCUUCAUGUCUUCUUUUGGACAUUAAGGGGUCUAGACAAAAGCAUGAGAGGAAAAACAAGAGCCUUUCUUUCUCUCAGUGCUUUUGGUGGUUCUCCGAAUUUGAUGGAUUUGGCUCCAAGAAGCCUACACGCUGCCUGGUUGAUGCCAUAUCAUCCUCCACAAUGAAUGCACCUCCACCACCGCCUGCCUAUGUCAUGUUGGACGGUCAGGGAAAGAAAAAUGGCAACUACGGCCCGCCUCCUUCUGGUCGCCGAAAUGUACCCCGGUAUAACUCCGACUACUACCCAAAAAAAUCAGGUGGAAGUAGUUGCCUGAGGUGCAUUUGCUGUUGCUAUUGCAUUCUCUUCCUCCUGAUCUUCAUCGUCUCCGUCCUGGCUUUCUAUUUCUACACUGUUUACGAACCUAAGGUGCCUUCCUACAAAGUUCAAAGCCUGGAUGUCAAAUCCUUUGAUCUCCUGCCUGAUUUCAGCCUCAACACUGUGUUUUUGGUAACUGUGGAAGCCGACAACAUGAACAAAGCCAUUGGUUUCACAUAUGGUCAGGGAAGCUCAGUCCUUGUGGAAUACACAGAUUCUAGACUUUGCUCGGGAUCACUGCCAAAUUUUCAUCAGGGCCCUCAUAAUACAACUUUGAUCCAAAUUGAGUUGAAAGGAAGGAGUGAAUUUGGAACAGGUCUUCAACAGGCUCUUCAAGAUAGCAAAGAAAAAGGAAGGAUUCCAUUGCUGGUGCGGAUUCAAGUUCCUGUGAGUGUUGUUGUGGGGGAAAUUUCCUCCAGGCAAUUUCACGUUUUCGUUAAUUGUACUUUGGUGGUGGAUAAUCUAGCUCCGGGCAAGAAAAUUGGGAUCUUAUCAAGCAAAUACGAUUUUGACCUCACAUUAUGAGAUCUAAGUAAAAUGCUUGGUAUCAUAUGGAUGAUCCUAUGUAGUUCUAGAGGUCAAGCACCUUGUUUUCUUGUUUUAGGAAGAGGUUUCAAUUCUAACUGCUCCACCCUUUUCUUGUUUCCUGUAUCCUGCCCCUGUAACCCUUACCUUCUUAGAAAUUCAUGAGAACAAAUAUGUAUGUAUGCAUCUAUGCUGGGGCAGCUAAUCUUUCUUCUCAAGGAAUGUUGGUGGUUGAUUAAGAGUUAGUGAUUAAGGAUCCUCCAGGGCCACUAUUCUUGAUUUUGUAAAUUAAGUAUUUACACGAGAGAACAAAAACAACUUCUUUGAUUGCUACUUGUAACAUGUCAUCUCUCAAGAGUGUUAUAUAUAAAUAUAUAUAUAUAUUUAUUUAUAGAGAAAAAGUAUGCUUUGAUCUCCAUCAAAACUGUAGUUCAUUUUUGACUUCCAGCUCAGGUUAAUAACAGAAAAAAAAUUGUUUGAUAUUCUUCUUUGUAAUUUAUGCAUGCAAAAAUAAAGAAAUGUUAUUGAUACUCGUUCAUCGAAUGGCACCAAAUUUUUAAAAGAAGUCCAGUGGUGAUUUUCAUGAACAAAUGCGGGUUUCUUCAAAAACACAAUAAUGAUAUGAUGCUGAUUAUAUAAUGCAUUGUGUUAUCUUAUCUAUCUUGCAAUUCAAAAGCGACCAAUAGGGAACUUGAGCCAGUGUAUUUGUUCUCAUUUGCUUUGGAUUUUACAAAAGCUGAUUAUUCAAAGCGUCUAUAUGGUAUAAUUAAGAGAAGCAAAAGCUACUCUUUGAUGGAUUUUAAAUUUUAAUUUUUUUUUACCUAUUACAAAAUCUAUAUUCUAAAGACAAAAGCAAACCAAAGGGUCCGAGAGAAAUGAGAUCCUGAUUGAAACCCUUUAUGAAUUGCUCGUUAACUCCCCAACCACCCAGAGAAAUGGCAGCUUUGUCUGAGAGAAAUGGCAGAUUGGAGGCGUGAUAAUCUAUUUUGUUUUACAGGAAAUCCACGUGAAUUAAAACAUGAAAAUUUCAAAGAGUGUCACAAUUUUCCUGAGUGAGAUGAAACUCUACAUACAUCGAAACAAGAAUUACUGACGUAGAAUUGAACAUACAAGGGAGAGAUUUUAUCAGGGAAGUUUUUUUUUUUUUUUGCUCAAAGCCUCUUUUCUAGUAGUACUUUUGUCACGUCCAAGGGCUUAUAGACUAGAAGAUUGUAGUAUGGAGCCAAUCACGUAGGUGUCGACAUUUGUUAGACUAAUGAAUGCUGCCUUGAUUUCUCUCUUGACGGCUGAUCACAGAAUUUUAUGCGUUAAAAACAAGUGGCAUAGCUUUUUACCCUUCAAGUCCUGAAUCGAAGGACGAUGGAGUUAGCAGUUAUAAAUCUUGCAAGAAGCUGCAAAACAUUCCAUCUUUUUGCCUUCGCUGAAGGCCCUCCAAUGGAGGGAGAGGGAUUUCUGAGUUCUGAUGCAUCAUGAACAAAAUUUCUUCAAUUUUCUCUUCCCUCCAAUCUCCCUCAUAUAUCCAUCAGCAUUUAACCAAUUCAAGACCAAAGCAGGCAUUAGUGAUAUAAGAACUCAAUUUUUUUCUACAGGUUAAUAUUUCAAAAGGAACUGUUGGUGUUUUGUUUAAGGAGAUUUACCGUGUUUUCGAGAUUUGGAGGUUCUUGAGAAUAGCAAGAUAAUUGCUUAAAGAUCACCGCAUCAUCAUUGAAUUCAACAUCGGGCUGAAAUCAAUUAUCAGCCAUGGCUCGUGGAUUAUAUCCUGCCCCUUCUUCUCUUUUGAGACAAAGUUCUUGUAAACGACAGGUAAAGCACAACGAUGAUCAUCUCAGGGUAUAUUUGCAGGGUAAAGUUUCAAUUGACAUUGCAUCUGUCAAGGAACAAGUUUAUGCGUGGUUUUGUGAUCUCUUGUCUGCAAUUGGCUCAUGUUUGAAACAUUCCGGUUUAGCAACUAGUAGCAGAACGGAAAAGAAUGUUUUAGUAUAUUUCACUAAAAGAACUGCCUAAAGAAAAGGAUGAUACUAGAAGAACAAACACACGGUCGAUCUUGUUUAUUGGCAAACUUAACAGAUAAAAUUUCCCUACAUCAAUUAACCCUGAACUUGGAUGUUUGAGUAACUUGUAUUUUGCCAUGUUCCUAAUAGGCAAAAGUAAGCAUGAACGUGUCCAAAGUUAACAAGGAAGCAACAGGCCUGGAAGUAGCCAAUUCUCGCGGAGGGAUAGGAGACUUGAUGUUGAUGUUUGAACUCAGGAAGAAGAUAAUAACCUUUAGAGACAUUCUUCACCUCCCACCUUGUGCUAAUGCUACUGCAAUUGCUGAGGUACUAUGUCUAAAUGCAGCUAAAUCAGUAAGGUUUACAAUUUGGACUUUGACAUAAAUUUCUCACUUUUACUUCCCUUUCAGUUGGUCGUGCGAACUUUGGAGGAUCUUAAGAAGUUGUAUCCCAGUAUCCUGCCGAAUAUCGAAGAAAGCAAAGAAGUUUCAUUACAGCAGGUUUAUUCAAUAUUAAGUACCUCAGUAUAGAUAUAAUACUUCUUGAAAAUACAUGAAUUCACACGAUGAAGGAUGUUUGUCCAGGAGAUGUCCAAUCUUUACGAGGCUCUAAAAUCUAUAGGAGACGUCUGGGACAACAAUCGUAUGUUAGUUGCUGACUCUGUGCACUGUGCAGAUGGUAGCUCAAAUGCUACAAACUCGAAGCAACUUGGUAAGUUCUUUUUCUUUAUUAUUGAACUGUUUCCAUGUUUCAGAGUUGAUAAAUGACUUUUUUAAAGGAAAUUUACAGUUUCUGUGCAUGCAAGGUGGACGAGUGAUUGAAGAGCUUGACAAUAUGAUUAAAACUGCAAGGCAGAAUUUUGAUGUCAUGCAUGAAGAUGAGAAAAGCAAUAAAGACGUUUUAAGAGAAAUGUCUCCAGAUAUCAAAAACACCUGUUCUUCUCUAGCAUCACCCAAUUCAGUCCCUACUGGUCUGAUGAAACCCAGUGCAGUUGCUGAUGCUUCUAACCCUCUCCCCACUUUACUUCAGACAGUGGAAAAAUGCAUCUCCACGGACAUAUGUCCUGCGGUGUCAUUACAAGGCACUGUUCCUGUUAAAGAGGGGAGGAAGAAGGCGGAUGAACAAACAGAGAACUUUAGCAAAGCGAAAAGCACCACUGAAGGAUCACCAAGAAUAGCAACGAAUGAAGUCACAAGUAGUCCCAAGUCUGGAAUCAAACCUAAGAGCAAUUUGAGUGACAUGCUUAACGCAAGAAGGCCAAAAGAAGCAAGCCGGUCUUUAUCACUCCCAUCCAUUCCCACAUCUCCAGUACCCCUUGCGGCUCCACCUCCACCUCAUCCUCCAACAGUUGGGGUUUCACGGCUAAAUGGUACUGCUCCGCCUCCACCUCCUCCUCCAGGAUUGGGGGUUCGAAAAUUCCCAAGCCUGAAGAGAUCAAAUUCAAAACUGAGGAGAUCAAAUCAUAUGGGAAACUUGUAUCGAAAUCUCAAAAGAAAACUGGAAGGAUCAAAUGUUACUGAUGCAAUAUCUAAUAAGAUAAAUCGUCGGGUUGGUGGUCUUACCAGCAUAAAACAAGGAAUGGCUGCAGCCCUUGCUGAAAUGACAAAAAGGUACUUUACAGUGGAAAUAACUAUUCACCACGGACUGUGUUACAAUAGACAAGUAGAUAUGGCAAAUGAUGAUGCUUCAUGGUGCAUGAUCUCUUUGUUUGGAUUUCAGAUCAGCAUAUUUUCAUCAGAUUGAAGAAGAUGUUCACAAGCACUCUGAAAUGAUCAUGAAGCUGAGAGAUGACAUAUGUUCCUUUAAGACAAAAGACAUGGCUGAGCUUCAAAAGUUCCGUAGAGAUGUAGAGAAACAUCUAGAGGAAUUGAGUGAUGAGACUCAGGUGAGUUAUCUCAGAUUUUGAGCAGGUUCAGCAAAUUCAAAGUUUAGAAGGACAUAAAACAUGCUUUUGCUUUCACAGGUUUUGGCAAGGUUUGAAGAUUUUCCUACAAAGAAGCUGGAAUCAUUGCGGAUAGCCGCUGCAUUGCACUCAAAAUUGGAAGGAAUAGCUUUUACCCUGGAGCAUUGGAAAACUGAGCCUCCAGUUGAGAUGAUGCUCGACAAGGUGGAACGCUAUUUCAACAAGGUAAAUCUCAUGAUCUUACGCCUAAAUUAACCAAUAUCAAAGAAUGAGAUACUGAGAAUUAUGAACUCUUCAACCAGAUUAAAGUAGAUAUAGAAUUAUUGGACCGGAGCAAAGAUGAAGAUUCUAAGCAUCUUCGAAGUCAUGAUAUUGUUUUUGACUUCAACAUAUUGAUAAGAAUCAAGGAACUUAUGGUGGAUGUUUCCUCAGCCUGCAUGGAGUUGGCACUCAAGGUAACUAUUCAAGUAUUUGCUACCUACCUCUUUUGCAUUUUUUUCACCCUUUCUAGCACCCUACAAUUACUAUGAACUUCUCACCAGGAACGAAGAGAAGCAACUGAAGGAAAACGAAAAGCACUCACGAAACUGCUAUGGAGGGCUUUUCAGCUAGCGUUUCGAGUCUAUACCUUCGCUGGGGGACAAGAUGAGCGAGCUGACAGUUUGACCAAGGAACUAGGUCGAGUACUACAUAGUGAUGCGUGAUAGUAGUGAAGUCAUAGAAUCCUCAAACAAGUGCAGUAAUCUCUGCAUAUCUCCUAUUGGCAAACGACAGCCUAGAACCAUUGUUGUAACAUCUCCUGUAGUUUUUGAACUGAAGCGCUGGAUUCAGGUGCAAUGACAUGAUGUAUCUGGAAUCCAAAAAAAUUGUACUAACUCAUUGAGAAUUAGUGUGCAUACAAGAAAGUUUUGGUUACUAGCAAAAGCAAGCAAAGACUAUUAAGCGUUUUAAUAGAGAGCAGUUAUCAUCUGCUUCUUUCCAACGUCUUAGUUAGUGCUUAUCUAUCAAACGUAGAAAAUAUUGUCUACACUUUUGGCUCUAAAUAUCCUCCUCAAUGUUGGCAUUCAAGAAAUGUAGCUCGGCAUCAUCUCCAAUAUCCCUCCUCCCUUGUUGUCAAUGCAACAUUUCAAGAAGAUUCUUGUAGAUACAAAUUGAUUAAGGUCUAACAAAGGUUAAUGAGAUUCAGGGCUCUGAAACAAAACUUUAAAUGUCAUCCAAUUACUAAUAUACUAGAAAUAGACCAGGUUCCAAUUUCAUGCUGAAGCAAUUGAAAGUGAAAGUCCAGAACUUCCAAUGGAGAAUAGGACGUCCCUCAGGGAUAUAGUGCAUAACAAAACCAUGACAAGCAAAUUAAGAAACAGGUUGAGUAUAUUUAUUCUUCUCUAUAAGAGGUAAAUCAUUGCAAGUGCACAAUUCAGACUUGCUAAUUACACAUCCUUAUGAUUUUACCAAAGAAGCCCAACUGGGGAGAAAAAAAAAAGAUUCGAUUUUUCUUUUCCCAACAAAUCUCUGCUGCUUUUGACCUUUUCUUCUGUUCCUUCCUUAUUGGGUUUGACCUGGAAAGGUAAGUAAUGUAUAAACUAGCUACUACUUGCACAAUACAUGAAACAAGUGACAUAUAGGUAUAUAAAUUAUCUAGAAUUGAUUAUUAUAGUUAUCCUUUUUUAUAGGUAAAUAAUAAAGGCUAUCUGUCACAAUAUAGAAAAAGUAAUCGGUCGAAUGUAACACUUGAUACUAAUACAUAAAUACAUGAUAAUGCAUAAGUAAAUUAUAAGGCAAAUUCUCAAGUGUCGAUGAGAGAACCACUCAGCAUAUUCCAACUAGUACUAAAAGCCAAGACAUGAACAUUAGAAGUGUAAAAUCGGUACCCAUCUCUAAUAAUAUUAGUUUCCUUAUGUAAUUACUUACAUAGUGAGUGAUGAUUGUUGUUGGUGGUGGUGGUGGUGGUGGUGUGUGUGUAUAUAUAUAUUUUUUGGUAUUAAUAUAGGGAUGUAAUUGAGUUGAGUCAAAUUCGAAUAUCGUCAUACUUGAGCUCGACUCAAUCAUCAAAAAGGAUACUCUAGCUCGAACAAGUGGCAUUACUGGAGUUUGAACUCGAGCUCGAUACAUCGCUUACAGAACUCGAGUUCGAUUCACGUGGGGCUUGAGUCAAUGCGAGUCUUACCGAAUUCGAGUUAUGAAGAUUUGGGAAUUUCAUUUUUUUUUGGACAAUUUUUGAGCGAAAAGACAUUAUCGUCCUUCAAAAAAAUUCACAUGACCUGAAAUAUUUUGUAAAUUCAACCACUCUUAUGGGCACAAGAGUAAUUUCAUAAUAAUAAUAAUAUAUUAAAGAAUUAAAAUUUAAAAACUCGAUCAGGCUCGAAACCUUCGAGUCUUGCUACUAAAUACUCGAUCUCGACUUUCUAGGCCUAUCGAGCUAUUCAAACUCGAAUCCGAAUCGAGUUUUUGACCAAUCUACUCGUGACUAGUUGGGUUCGAUUACAGCCCUACAUUAAUAGAGCUAUUUAUGUAAUGUUUUGCCUGGUAUACAGAUUAUAUUCUCCCAUACUUAUGUGCCAGUAGUAAAGUUUCCCUGACAUUCAGUACAUGGGGCAUAAUUAUGAAGAGUAGUUUAUGGUGCCUAGCUUUCAGCAUCAUGCGCUGCCAAGAAACCCCAAUCCCCAGUACUGCACGUUUCCACGUUUCCAUGCCAUGGAUUCAGUUGGCCACCAACCCCCCCUCUACUGCCCAUUAGUGAUUCCGGCUAAGUGAAUUUGAUAACCUGUUUCAUUGACUCUCUGUUCUCUAACAAUCCAAUUUGCAGCUACAACUUCAACAUGUUGUUUGACUCAAAAAAAAAAAAAAAAGAGGUACAACAUAUUUCGGACAAGAAAUAUGAAGAGGAAUUGUCAGUGCGUGCAUUUUAAGGUUGCUGCGCAAAAAUGGUCUGCACAGAGGAACCCAUGAUAGCCUGAUUAUCAUGCGGCCACAAGUUCUGACUAAUUUUUCUUCUGAUUUCAUUUGGUAGUUUAGCUAAUUAUAACCUCCUUUAGAUGUCUAAUUGCUAUAAUCACACACUUCUUUUUUUUCCUGAUUUAUGAAGUAUGAUCCAUUUUUCUCGAAUUAAUCUUACCACAAAUUUUUAUUUUCAAUGAGGGAUGACUUUAUGGAGUCAAAUUUAGCGAGGGAAAUUAUUGAAAGGGGAAAGGAGACAACUAAUUAACUAUAACUCGACAAACCUCAAGACAAGUUCCAGAAAUACUUUGUCGCAGUUUAUGUUCUUUGUUGCUUAAAUAGGGUGGUAAGAACAUACAAGUUCUUGAAUGGAGCGGCUAGUGUUGACGCUCCGGAAUGUAGAGGUUCUGCGUUCUAAGAUGUCCUCUCUCCGUUUCUUAAAUUCCACCCCUCUUUUGCUUAAAAAAAAAAAGAAAGAAAAUAUUUCUUGCAAUUCCAUGAUUCUAAUUUAGAAAACUACCAAAAUCUAAUUCCUUUGAGAGAAAUAUUUGUGGAUGGACAUAUGUGAAAAAGAAAGUAAGAUGUUGAAGUUAAGAGGCAUGACUGAUACUUAAUGGUGAUUGACAGGGAUGGGCUUGCUCAAAUUGUUAAUUUGAAAGCAGCCUCAAUUAUAUUGCUCCAGUGGGAUGGGGCAAAGGGUACUUUUCCCUUUGCUUCAACAAAUAAUACUUGUUAUUAUUGGUCGGAAUAAAGGGCCAAGAAAAGUUGAACUGUGUAUAUGACUUCCUUGAAGAGUAAGAUAUUCCACAAAACUAAUUGAAACACUAGAAGUGAGAAAUUCUGCAGCAUUUAUUCUCACAAAAGUAAUUAGCACUACUCAACUUUUAAAGAAAAACAAAAAAAAAAGUAUACAUUGUGGGCCUGUCUUCGCAUUCAAGGGCUCAAAAAGCAUAGAAUUAUCAACUGAAAAGUAGUACAAUCAUACUCAAAAUCAAGUUUAUAAGUUCAUGAAUUGCCCACUUUCUUCUCAAGGGAAAAAACGAAUUCAACAAUAAUAUGGUAACGUAAAACAAAAAGAAAAACAGAACAAGGAAAGUCCUAGCGUAUCUCAAGUUCUGAUAACUGUUCCAAACACUUACAGCGUCGUAGUGGAGCAGUUUCCUAGGAGGAGUUGAGACGACUAUCCUACCACCUCAAGUCUCAAAAGUCCUAGCUUAUAUCAAGUUUCAACCCCACUACUUCUCCUUUUCCACUUCUGAAAUAACUGCCUCAUGAAGAUCGAAUUCAACUGUCUUCAGGAGUAGCAGUAGUUCAGUUCAUCCUAAUCAUGAUCAUAUAUUAGCUCCUGUCUAAACUCUUGUCCGUUCUUUAUUCGGCUUUCGGCAGCUGGCAGAUUAAUAAGCCAUCUUCUUCGUAUCCACCCUCAGCCCUUUUGUACUUCAAAUUCACCCACUAUUAAUUAGUUGUAAUCGGUCUCAGCUGCUUCUUCAUCUUUUCUAACCGGCAUCAACCAAAACAGGCUUAUUUGGACGUCUAAUCAAACAUGUUUGAUAUUCUUUUCGGAUGGAGAAAAGCCUCUAAGUGGUACUACUACACUAGUAUUAAUCAAUAGUUUUUGCUAAUUCAGGAUGAGUUUCUUUUUUUUUAGUGUAGUAUUCGUUACUGGUGUUUGUUAUGUAUGAUCAUGACUAAGACGGAGUUCUUGAUGGUUCUUUUGCAGCAAGAAAUUGAUCAGAAGGGUUCAGUGCCGUCUCAAAAUUCUCAAGAACAAGCAAAGUACUAUUGUGAGGCAGUCGAGGGAGGAUUUGGCUGAGCUUCUCAAACAUGGCCAUGCCCAAACUGCCUUUGAUAGGGUAUGAUCACCUUUGCCUAUCCACCAAAAUCAAUCUCUGAAAAAAAAAAUCAUCGUUAUGGCUUGUUGAUCUUGAUUUCUCUGCCUUAUGUGAUCGCCCCUGUUCUAGUGAUCAUGGUAUGAUUAAUUAUGUGAAGAGUUAAUCUGAUUGAGUUAAAACAGAUGAACAAUAUUUUCCCUCCGCGGUUAGCCUGCUCGGCUCUGUUGGGAGAGAUUUAAUGAACUUACUUGGUGGUCAUAAUGCUGUUAUAGUUGCAAGCAAGGAUCUUUUCUGCAGGAUACAUAAAGCAAAUUAGUUCAGUUUUUGUUUCACCACAUAAUUAUGAAGUCAAAUUUGAACAAAAUUUAUAUCAAGUAAUAGAGAAAAGCAUUGUAUUCAACAGUUCAAGCCUAGGCUUCAACCUUGUGUCUCUGUUCGCUGAGUUUAAGGAUCAGCUUCAUGAGUUAUUAGGUGCUUUUUCAUUAAAUUCCAGGCAAAUUUGGAAUAGAUGCAUGAAUAAACCUAAGAACGGAUCUUCCCAUUUUCAUUUUCUUUAUUAACAAAUUUUCAGGUAGAGCAGCUGUUCAAAGAUGAAUGUAAGGUGGCAGCGUAUGAUCUGCUGGACCAAUUCUGUGAAUUUAUUAUCCUUAACUUAUCUUACAUCCGGAGAAACAGGUAUGUUCAUAAGCAAUUGCAAGAUUUGUUCUGUAAAUUCAUGUCUUCUUGUAUUUUGGACCUGGCAUUCAAGCUGAAGUAGGAAACAGCAAAUGCGUGAUGCUUACUUUCCAUGGGUUCAGGGACUGUCCUAAUGAUAUCAAUGAAGCAGUGUCAAGUCUUAUAUUUGCAUCAGCAAGAGUAAGAUCUGGCGAUCUACCAGAGCUUCUAUCGAUCAGGAAGCUUUUUGGAGAAUGGUAUGGUCAGAGAUUGGCAACUUCUGCCCUUGAAUUACUUCCUGGAAAUCUUGUGAAUCGUCAGGUUUGCCCUUGAAUUACUUCAGAUAUAAAUCCGUAUGGUUCAUUUAUUUCUGCUACCAUGUUGUUUAUGGAUUUAAUGUGCGGGACAUAACAUUCAUGUCUCUGAAUGCAGAUCGCAGAGAAAUUAAGCAUAAAAUCAGUACCAGAUGAUGUGAAGAGCAGCCUGGUGAAAGACAUAUUAGGAAGUUCCCUUCAGUCAGGUCCUUUGUUGCUCGAGUACAGUUCUGAAAAGCAACAGAAAUUGGUAUGUUGUUUUCACAGUGCUAUAGCACUGAUGUUCUCUUGGGUGUAUUACCAAUUUUCAGUAUGUAACUUGUGUUAUCUCAUUAAUUGAAGGCGAAUGAAAGCAGUGGUGAUCCAUUUCCCAGUGCUGAAACCAUCCGUGAGCAAAAUGAAGGACACAAUUUACAGAUGUCUAAUGCAACAGAGGAAGGGAAGAUUGUAUAUGUCGAUUUCUCAUCAGUAAAAAAAUCUAUAAAGGACCUAUCUCCCUCUUUGGUGAGCUCUAUGACUACGUUCCCUUCCACCUAUUCUGUAGUAUUGCAGCAGACUCUGCUAAAAACAGUGGAUUCCACUGUCCAUAAGAAAGACCUGAGACUAGUCAGUUCAGCAAGGAAAAUUUGCCCGUGUGCAUUUGAAAUGUCUAGUUUUCAACAGUUGGAAGGGGCAAUAGUGGUCCAUGAUUCUGCUGUGGGACAAGAGGAGCGGAGUGCAGUAGUAGAAUCUUCUUCUGUAGGACAAUUGCCCAAGGAGAUGAUAUAUCUUGAUGACAUUCAGGAAAUCCAGUCACCUUUGAGCAAAGAGGGCAACUUACAGGAUCAAAGACUGUUCAAGUUCAAACAAUCUGCUCUCCCCGUUACAGGAAUUACACAGAAUCCAGAUGAUGAAGCUCCGGAUCAAGAGCAAUAUGAUUCUGACAAUGAGAGAGCAGCAUCAAGAAGCUUCAGACAGAGCAGGAACAUGGGUUCUGGUAAAAGACAGAGGAGGAGGUCAGUUUCAGGAGAUGCUACCAGCAUGAAUGACAUUGAAUGUGCAAUCUACUACGGUGAAUCAUACGGCCGUUCGCCAAAUUAUUACCAGAAAUCCCGUGAUAAGAAAAAGGAUCAGAAGAAGGUUCCAAUUAAGCGGCAGCAAAAAGUAUACCAGGCACAAGAAAUCCCAAUGCAUUCACCCUUCAUCAAAGUCAAAAGUGGCUUCAAUUUCAUAGAGUCCAACGAUGAUCAUACCAAAUCAGACAGCAGAUGCAGCUCCGACAACAAAAUGCUCAACAACUGCAGCUUGCAACAUCCAUGUUAUUUCCGCACAUGUGACGACGAAGAUGACUGGAAUUGUUCACCACAGAAGCCAAAGAUUCAGUACGUGCUCUGCCAUUGUCACUGCUCUUGCAGUAAAAAUCCGAAAAUCAAAGAGGCCGAAAAAGGGAUGCUUCUAAAUCAGCCAACAAUCAAAUCUGAAGAUGCAACAAGUCCUCCUUUUGUCAUUUCCACCAGCUCAGGAGCAAAUAGUCCUUUUACAAGCAAAGAAGGGAAGCCCUCUUACUCGAGAGCAAUGACUAUGCCCCCUGAAAGGCCUAAAGAUGCAGGCAUUGACAGCAUGCUCCGAUCAAAUUCAUUCCCAUUUGAACACCCUGAGUCCUCUUCAAACCGGCAUGUUCAUCCAAAGCUUCCGGAUUAUGACGAAUUAGCAGCUAAAUUUAUGGCACUCAAGAAAGCCUAUUUGCAGAAGUGAGAAGUACGGUACAUAUUGGAGAGAGCCAUAAUAACAGAUGUAUAUAAUAUGUCAAGAUUGGACAAGAUUUUGCAUUCAAAUUUCAUCAAUUCUUUACGUUGGUUGAUGUUAAAUGUUCUAUUAGAGCAAGCCAUUGAGACAUUUUUCUCGAACGGAUUGUAACAAAGAGCUGUCUGUGCAAAAUUUUGUCUUGUUUUUUUAGACUGUAAGCUGCUUCAUGCAUUGAUGGGCCAUCGAAAGCCCACUUAAAGCUGUCAAUUUGAACCGCUCUCUCUUGGCCCACAUGUAUUAGGCUCAAGAAGCGGAGUAUUGAUGUUGAGUUCCAUCCUCAAAGACGAGAUCAUAAAAAAUGAGAUCGGAACAAGUCCAGUUGAGGUUUGGUACAAUUUGUUUUGUUCUUCUUUCAGAAUUUGGUGUACAUUCACAUAAUUGUAUUAAUCUCUUAAGUUGAACAUGAAUAAAAGUAUACAGCAACCGGACAACCAUAUGAAAACCUCAAUUAUACUUGAACCAAACCCAUGAAAAAGUGUGUGAAAACUAGUGGGGCAAUUUUUGGCUGUGCAAAACUUGAAGGUACAGAGUUCAAAUUCGUCUACCCUAUCGGCACCAACCUCUCCCCCCUCUCCUGUUCUCCGGUCAAACCCUUGCCCCAAAAAAUAAUGGAUGAAAGGAUCCGAUGUUACCAAUCUAAACUUCAGUUUUCUUAAAAAAAAAAAAUUAAAGGAAAAUGGUUCAAAACGUCCCUCACAUUUUAUUAAAUCAAUUUUUUUUGUUCUUCACUUUUAAAAUAGUAACUUUACGUCUCUUAAAAAAUAAGUCAGUAAAAUUUGGUUCGAAUCUAGAUUUUCAACUACUUUUUAUUUUGGAUCUAUCACAUGAACUACAUAUGGUCAUUUUUUAGGGGCAAAAAGGUUAGGUCUCAUUUAUAGUUGAAUAAAUUACUUGAUUCAUAUUCAUUUUUGCUCGUAAAAAAGUAGAAUUUAAUCUGAACUAUAUGAUUUGUCCCUAAAAAAGAGCAAUUUGACCCAAUUCAUAUUUAUUUUUGUCACUACAAAAAUGAAAUCUAACCUUUUUGUACAUAAAAAAAUGACUACAUAUAGAUCAUGUAGUUAUUUCAGGCCAAAAAGUGGCUGGAGACUCAAGAUAGGAUCAAAUUUUGCUAACUUGGAUUUGUUAGAAAGUAAAGUUAACAUUUUAAAAGUGAAAAACAAAAAAAAAAAAUUUAUUUGACAAAAUGUAAGGAACGUUUUGAAUUAUUUUCCCAAAAAUUAAAGGCAUAAUUUGUUUUUUCACUCCCUGCCUAAAUGUUCAAGGCUCCAUCCCAAAUGAGUUGCACAUUUUCGCGUGUGGAGUUUAAGUAAGAUUAGCUAACCCUAAAAUGUUUGGAAUUGUAAGGUUUAAAGUGUGAGGCGAAGGGUCAAACUAUCAAAAACAAGCCAGGGUUGCCUUUGUUUGAUUGGAUUUACAAAACAGACCUAAUUUGGAAAUUGAAACUUAUUAAGAACAUCAAUUUGUUUAUUACUUGAUUGGCCUUGUUCCAAUGGAAGAUGUGGUACUUUUCAUAUGUCUAAUGAUUAUCAACAAUACAAUUCCGUCCAAUCUAAUAUUAGGGAAUAAAUUUAACUUUUGGGCUUUGAAAAAACUCGGAUCUAAUCCAAGAAUAUGAGUGAUAUUUUUAGUCUAUUCUCAACACAUCUAUGCGUGUUCUGACGUCGAUGGGGUCUUUAAUGAUUUGUGGCACAAAAAGAGCUGAUAAAUGGGUAUACUUUUUGGUUCUAUUUUCUCUAUUACCGCUAUCAAUGUUUGUCCUCUCAAGCCCAUUUAAGAAAGUUGUCACAUAAUUGAUAGAGCAUUAUUUGCCAAAAGCACAAGAAAAGAAAACCCCCCCCCCCCCAUUGGAUCACUUGUCAAAGAAACAUAAGAGAAUUUUCCAUAUACUUAUGAAUGCCAAGCAAGUGACACAUCAAAUUACUAGGAAAAAGAGAAAUGUUUCAAGGUAAUUUAAAUCUUACCCUUGCUGUUGUAGUAGUAAACUUUUGAGGCCAUGCAAAUUAGACAAAUCUUUAGAAAGGUACUCAUUGGUUAUUUAUUCAUUUAUUUAUUGAAUUAAUCUUUUUUACACUGACGAUGUAUAUACUAUCAGCGUUGGAUGAACGACAACUAUGAAAAAUUUGAAUUUGAAAUUUAACUUUUGCACACGUGUCAUGAAUCCAACGAUGAUAGUGUAUACACUGUCAGUAUAGAAAAAAUUUACUCUUAUUUAUUUCUAGAUUUUUUUGGAAAGUUAGUCAUUGGAUAAACUAGCAAUAGCUUAACUUUUAAGUUUCAAUAAUUGAUUGUAUGAUGGAUAGGCAUGAAUAAAGAUUAGGAAUCUAAGAUCAACUAUCUGGAUUCCAAUCGGUAUUAAUUUGCCGGUUAAUGAGUCAUUACUUUUUGUUUCUUAUCCAAAAUUAAUAGUGCAUAUGAUGCUCUCUGCUAAGAUAAGAAUAAAUCUAGUGACAUAAAUUUGACAAAGAUUUCCACAAUCUCUAUCUACGAGCCUUCUUAUUAAUUACCAAUGCAUGUACAAGUCAUAAUUAAUUCCAUCUGUCCUACCUGUGUCAUCCUUGAUGGAAUCAAAUUUGCCAUUCAAGCAAUGUAAAACUUUUUAAAAAAAAAUCUAGAAAACAUAUAAAAUGAAAAAAAUAAAGACAAAAAAGUUUAAACUAAGGAUUAAUCUUUUCUACACUGAUAGUAUAUAUUCUAUCAGUGAUGGAUGGAUGAACGAUAACUAUACAAAAUUUAAAUAUAAAACUCAACUUUUACACAUAUAUCAUGAAUUUCACUGUGAUAAUGUAUACGUUGUCAGCGUAUAUUUACUCUUAAAUUAAUACGAACAAAGUUUUCCUCUGGAGACUUCUAUGACAAAAUCCCACAUAUAGGGGCCGUCUAAAGACAAAUUAUAAUACGUAAUCGAAAUUAAUUUUUUACUUCCUUUUCUUUUGGUAAGACAAAUUAUAAUACGUAAUCGAAAUUAAUUUUUUAUUUCCUUUUUCUUGCUUGAUGGUUACUAUGUCGUUUGCACAUUCGCAAAAGUUAUAAAAAUUUUCGAAUUGUCUGCGCUUGUAAAACUCGAUAAGAAGAUGUUCUGCUCGAAAAUGACUUGAAAAUUUUUUAAGGGCUUUUAUAACCUAGGAAAAGUCCAUCCAUUAAUGAUGCGGCAAGCCGUCCAAAAACGAAUUAUUGUGUUGUGGGCUUCAGAUCAUACUACUAGAAAGAUAUUAAGAGGCUGCUUAUCUGCGGGAUUUUUUCAUUGCAUGCUGGGAAUAAUGAUUAUGUAGGACAAAGUAGAUUUUUGUUGCUGAAUAUUUUAAAAGGGUCAAAAGCAAAGAUGUUUUCUUACUUUUUUCUCAACAAGGAAAUUGAUUGGUUGGAAAAUCAGUAGUUUCUUCAUCCCAAUGUUGAUAGACAUUCUUCAGAGCUACCGCAGCAAUAUGGGAAUGGCAAAAACUUGUCCUUUCCUCAAGUCACCAACCAAAAGGGAAACUCUAUAAUUUGCUCCACUAGGAAAAACUUUCAUGUUUAUAUGUUUAUUGGGAUUGAGGGAUUUCAUUUUUCUUGAUUUUUCAUGGAAAAAUUAUUGUAUCGAUUUGAUGUAUGUGAGAAAAAAAGAUAAUAGGGAAAUGUGAUCACGAAAAACGACGUAAUUUUUCGACGAAAACUGAUAAUCCAAACAGGGCUGAACAAAGUGAAAAAAUAGGGUUUUGGCUCUCACAUUUGAGAUUCAAAACAACACUAAUUAUUUUUAGUGUACGCAAUCAUUUUUAGUACAUGAUUUCACUAUUUUAGAGAAAAAUGUAAUGAAAGAACUAAAUGUUAAGCAUAUUAAUUCUAUGCCCAAAUGCGAAUAUAAUCGUCUGAUAAUGUAAGAAAAAAACCAACGUAUAAAUUUGAUAUGUAGUUUAAUAAGUAUUUUAGAUUCUAAGAGAGAAUUCAAUAUUUAGAAAUUCAAAAAUACAAUCUGCUUGACGUUUAUGACGAGAACGGGUCCAUUUUUAAUUUUUUGUCAAACAUGAUGCUUUAAUAAUUAAUUUGUAUAAAUAAUGCUUAACCAUUGACAAAUCUUACGGAAAAUCUGGCCCCAACAUAUAUAUAUAGUACUAGAAUUAGGUACAGAUCAAAAUUUUUGUGCACGAGUUUGGUGUUGAUAUUUUGUAAAGAGGAGCAAAGCAGAAUGGCUUUUUGUAUGUGUAUGGGAAUGCAUUUGAAUAUGUGUAUCGUGGGGUCUUGGAUUCCUGAUAGAACCGAAGAAUAAACAAGUGAAAAAUGAUGAGUUGAAUGACCGGUGGACCCCCGAAAUGUGCCGAUUCCCACCGACCCCCACAGACACCGUUAUGGUGGUUGACUUUGUUGGUACGUAUUUAAAAGACAACAGAACUGACCAUUUUGAUUUUGCCACCGAAAGUUGAACUCUAACGUGUAUAACCUCUAUGAUUAUUGUUGCUACUGUACACAUAUUUAAGCCUCUAUACUGUUUACCAAAAGAACAAAAAGGAAAAACAAAAGAAGGCCUCUAGAUGAUUUCACUGUUUGUUUUUUUGGUAGAAAAAGAUUUGGAUGGAUUCGAUUUCAAUCACUAUUAUAGGUCUGGACAUGCUCUUAGGACUAUAGAUCGAGGGUUCUUACAAAUUGUUAAGUGGGACUAUAAGUCGUUUAUAGAAUUUCUUACAAAUUGCCUGUUUAUGUAAUUCUCAUAUUAGGAGUAUGAUUCGAACACAUGACUUUUGUUAUGAGGAAGUGAUUCGUUCUUAGUAAUUGAGUCAACUUGUGAAGUUGGCUCUCUGUUGUUCAAUUACUUGAAGGCAUCUAUAUGCAGAGAAAAAAUGAUCAAGAGUUUUUUAACUAGCCAUUUUUUGGACAACGAAAAAUGCAUUUUUUCAAGUUCCAAAGAUUUUAUUGUAAGAGGUCCUUUUUGUAUUUUUUUUUUAAUAUAUACAUUUAAAGAGGUAUUGUGAAGCUUAACAUGUUUCUAAGUAGUUCAAUCAUUAAUUCUUCUUUAAAAUCUUUUGGAUUGAAGUAAAAGAAGCGAUAAGGAAGAAGAAAAAGAAGAAUACCGUGUUCGAUUAAUUGGUUCAAGUCCGAAAUUGUUCAUACAGUCAUCCACUUUAGAAGCAGAAUAUUGGACCUAUGAUUCAGGGAAUGUAUUAUAUUGACAUCUCGUUUAUGCACUGUGCAAGAUAUUUCCUCAAAAUGCAUUAGAAAAGUUUGGAGUUUAGAUCAUUAUGGAAAGGUACCAAUCACAAUGAGCUUCAUGAACCAAAGAAGAAAAUCAGUCUCAUACAAAUCAUUGACAUUAAAAAGAACCAAGGAGUCGACUUAUCAAAUAAAAUGCUUAUCUUAGAAGAAAGAAAAUCAUAUAGAAAAAUCUGUAUGGGCUUAUCUGGAAUAAAGAAGGGCAUUCGAUGUAGACGCACCUUAUACCUUCUCAUACAUUGAUUUUUUUUCUUGAUUUCCCAAUUGUUUACACAUUAAAGAAAUUUGGGAGAAUGGGAUGUCAAUACUGCUUUUGAAGCUACUAAACAAAUGCAUACUUAAAAAGGGUUUUUAUCCAAAUGGACGACUUCGAAAGCAAGUUCUGCCCUAGUGCUCUUUACACUCCUAAGUAAAAAUCUUCAUAAACAGCACUAGAAAUCCAACUGCAGUACUAUAGACUUUACAAAAGAAAAAAGGAAAAAGAAAACCCAAUUGGGGUUCACUCGCUUUGAUUGUUUAUACUUUUUGUAUUGGGGGCUGAGUAGGGAAGAAGGGCAAAGGUAGAUUUAGAAAUUAAACUAUUCAUGAAGUUGAUGUCCUAGGUUUCCAUGAAUCUAUUCUUAAUUAAGUGGAUGACAAAUUAAGCAUCCAUUUUCAUAGGGAUUAAUUGCCCAGUUGUAAUUGUUUAGCUAGAAUGAGUAUCAAUUAGAAAACUACAUUUACCAAAAAAAAUGAGAAAAACAACAAAUCCUUGUCCAUGUGAAUUUGCAUUGAAGAAGUCAAAAUAAUACUACCUUCAUACAUAUGAGCUAUCAAAACGUGGAAAAUCUUAGGUUAUGCUACACGACUCUCCUAGUAUAUAUAGUACAGGAACUUGAUCAUAAAAGUCAUCAAACAUCCAAAUGACUAGAGCCAAAAAUAUUUGCCCCCUUGACUAUAAAUAAGCAUGUAAAGCUAGAGCCAGUUUCUGCAUAUUUUUUCUUUUUUUUUAAAAAAAAAAAAAAUUAGGGUAGAAAGCCAUUUACAUGUACUGAUAUCUAAGGUCUCUAACAAAUAAAGGUCAUUAAUCUAAUCUUAGAGGUGAUGAACCUCGUACUCCAUUCUCCAAUCCAUUAUAAAGGAAUCUCAUCCAGGUGGUACAUAUUUUAUUCACACUUGGUCGAGAUAAUUCUCAGCUGGUUCUCAAGUGUAGUCUUUUGUAUGUCCAUUUGCUAAGGCAAAUUGAUAAUUUAUUAACACGUGUUCUGCUCUUUUGUACUGCGUUUUAUCUAAGUGUAGGAACUAUGAACACAAAUGGCCUUCACAAAACACUUGGACGAAGGCUGGACAGCGUGAAAAGCAAAGAAAAUUCACAUCGAAAGUACGAAAUCUAAAGCGUCAAAAUGGUAAUAAUAAAACUAUAGGACUAAAUGAAAAUGUUCAGCUGCACGUAUUCAACCUGGAUCGAAGACAAAUGAACAGCUAAAAGCGAAAAGGAUGACUGAGGUCGGAUGUUAUCAAAAGGGUACUAUCAAAAGGGUUCGAGUACUAAUUAUAUUUUGUUUUCUAGUUGCUCAUGAGAUUCUUGGCACUGUUUUUCGAGCCGGAUGGUGGGUGGGUAUACUCUAGCUAUUUAUAUAAUGGGAUAUUAUAGCUUGGGGAUCAAUCUCUCGUUUAAGGGUUUCGAAUAUUUAUCCUUUUUUAAGUAUUCUUCACCAUUUACAGGAAAGAAAGAAGAACCCAUGACCAAUUUUGAUGAAUCUGUUGAUCAGCUAGUUUUACAGAUGAACUGAUAUGGCAUAAACUAGUUCUUGGUCAGAUUGAAGAAUCUGAUUAAUUAGAGUUAAUAAUGCUGGCCUGAGAACUCUAAGAUAUCGAAGAAUUCACUAUGAAGAUAGGCAAAAAAAUGAAAGGAGAGAGAGAUGAGCCAACAUGUUACCACCAACCAUGAAUUAUCAUGCACCAAACAACCACUCUUUGGCAUGAUGGGACGCAUUUUCUUGGCAAUUAGUCUACAAAAUGAUAAGAAGAAGACACACUAGAUGACUAUUUCAUGACAUAGGCGAUCGUCCAUUAAUUGGAUCUCGGGAGUUCGAAUAUAAGAAGAACUUGUUCUCAAACUGGACAGGGUGGAACUCCAAAAUUGGUCAAAAACAGUUGUUAAAAUGCAAUUGGAGAAUUGCAUAAUUGGGGUGGCGAGGCUGAGUCAUAGCGUGAACGAAAACAAAUUUGGACCGUCAUUGGAAUAAGACGGUGUCAAUGACAAUGAGAUAGCAUGUGCAUGCUUCUUUAGUUGUGUUUGCGUGCCUGAUUUUGACCAUUCUCAUUGGGGCAUUAAAAUCGUAGAUUUCCAAUGGAAACUAGUUAGAGUAAUCCCUAGUAUAGAGAAAAUAGUCAAAAUACAACCCUUAUUUUAUACAAGACCAAUUACAACCUGCCACAUUAGUGUACGGACGACCUAUAUGAAGGUGUGCGAGCAGGUUUUGAACAUUUUGUAAUUCUAAGUGAACUGUUUGUACAUUUUUACAAUAGAAGUAUGAUAUAAUGUUAUUAUUGUUUAUGUAAGUCGUAUGCAUCAUAAUUACGUCUUUAUUGUAAAAUUUUAUAAAUACUUUACGUAGAAUUAUACUUUAUUUAAAAAAUAUUACACUGUUCAGGACGGACACGUAGAACUGGUUUAUUGUUGGCGGCCAAUGCUAACCCAAUGGGCUCCUUCUUCGGUAAUCCAUACCCUCUGGUGAUGUUUAUUACAUAACCUGCGAUUAGUGGUGCAUAUUAGAGCCACUCCAUCCUCAAAGUCCUAAAAUAAUACAAGAAAGAUAUAGUCGAGAACAAAAGUAUAUACUAUUUGUCUGGAAUAUAAUAUUUGAGUGUGUAACUUUGUUAAUCUUAUCUAAGGAACAGAAAGGUUAGUCAUUCAUAUGUAGCUUUUCUCAUGUAAAUAAAUUAAGGCCUAGGAGGAAGUUGUCCAGAGUUUUGAACUGACUAGCGUAUCUGAUUAUAUAUUCCAGUAGCAUUCACAUACAAAGAAGGUCAGCAGGAAGAUACAUAUACGUCUCUCAACAUUUAUUAGCUAAGCUUGAUAAAAAGCAUUUGUGUUGCAAACCAACUAUGUUGCUCUACAUUUUGGUUACUUCAAACUAGUCAAUUAAAUUCUUUAGAUGAAAAUCUUGCUUGGAUUACAAUUUUUACAUUUUUCACGAGUGCAUUUUUCAAUCACCUUUUAUCUCAUAUACAUUAAAUCGCUACAUCACUUUCAAAAUUACCGUCCAGAAUUACCUUUUACUUCAUAUACAUCAAAUCGCUCCAGAAAAAUACAAACAAGUGCAUUUUUCAAUCACCUUUUAUUUUAUAUACAUCAAAUCUCUACGUCACUUUCAAAAUUACCCUCUAAAAUUAUCUUUUACUUCAUAUACAUCAAAUCGCUCUAAAAAAAAUAUAUAUAAACGGAUAGAUAGGGACUUCAUAUCUUCUUAUUAUUUAGUAAGAGAAUAUAUAUAUUUUUGGUCUAGGCUCUCUGUUGAUUUCUGUAAUGAAUCAAAAUCUAACGAAUUCUAUCUUGGACAGAAAGGUAAAUAUGCUAGAAUCUAUCAAAAUGUAAUCCUUUAAAUAAUUUAUUUCACCAAAGACAGACAAGGUUAAGAGUAAAGGCAACGGCAGUAGAAAGAAGAAAGUCCGUGUGGGACCAAAAAUUUAGAAGGAAGUGAUCAACCAGGAUGCUUCUACAGGACCAAAUCUUUUUCUGGCCUCUUAUAAACCCACCUCCCAAACUCCCUAGCUUUUACUCUGCACACAAGACUCUCAGAAAAAAUAUCCCCUGCUUUUUCCAGCCACCCUCUGAUUCUCUCCUCAUAUUCAAAAUUUUUCCCAUUCACAAACCCACAAAAACGCAUUUAGAUUUUUAUUUGGGUCUCCUUGAGGCCGCUCGCUCUCUCAUACAAGUGUGUUCUUUUCUUUCUGUAAGAGAUUUGGGAUGGAUUGCUCAAGAAAUGAAUUGUUUAGGCCGUUUUCCUCUGGGUUUUCUUGAAAUGUGUGGUUCUAGUUUUUCUAUAUUUUCGAUUUUUUUCCCAAAGUUAAAAUCUGGGUUUUGAAGAUUGAUCAGAUAUAUCACUCGGGUUGCUAACAAAAUCCAAUCUUUCAGCCUUCUUUUUUUCGUUCUAAUUUUGGUUUCUUUGAUUGGGUGAUCCAUCUCAAAUACUCUGCUUCCCCUGUUUUUCUUUAAUAUUAGCAGGGGAAUAUAGUAUACUAAGAGAGCGAGCGGCUGGUUAUAAUCUUCUUAUCCCUUUUUUUUUGGGCCGUUGGAUGAACAUUUUUGUGUCAAUGGCUUCACCUAAAAACAGUGGGAAAUCAAAGAAGUAUGUGGAAGAAUCACAACACUUGGCUGGAAAGGAGUGGGAUAGAGAUAGAAGAGGUCAAGGCAUCAGGGAAUUUGAUUUAAGCUUGGAAAGGCAGCAACAGUGGAGGCCAGUUUUUGAUGAAGCUUCCAUGGAAAAUAGGCCUUUCAAGAAGAUCAAAAGUCCUGAACGCCAAGACCCUUUCCAUCAAUCCUCCUCUUCUUUAGCUCAACAAACUUCGCAACCUCCUCUUUCCCUUACACCUCCUUAUGACAGCAGGGGAUCAAAUCCAUUAGCUUUUCCUUCUCCUUCUCCUUCUUCUUCCUCUUCAAGGCAUGUUUUUCCAUUUGCCUUUGAUGGAACUCAACAAUCUUUGGAAAGUCUACAGCAUUUAAGAGCACAUACAUUUGAUAGAAAUCAACAGAAUACAGUUCCUCUGUUUCGUCCAUUGCAGCAAAAUGAGCAGCAAAUGAUCUCGUUUGCUCCUCAUUACCACCACCAUCAGCAGCAGCAGCAGCAGGGUUUUGCAUUCCCACCUUAUUUUGCAGGGGAUGUGGCAGCAGGUUCACAACAUCAACAGCAGCAGCUUUUGCAGUAUUGGAGUGAUGCAUUAAGUCCUAGAGGAAGGAUGAUGAUGAUGAAUAGGUUGGGGCAGGGGCAGGAGCCCAGGACAUUGUUCAGGCCCCCAAUCCAGCCAAUUAACACCACAAAGCUGUACAGAGGUGUUAGGCAGAGGCAUUGGGGCAAAUGGGUAGCCGAAAUUCGUCUCCCUCGAAACAGGACUCGUCUUUGGCUAGGCACAUUUGACACAGCUGAGGAUGCAGCCUUGGCCUACGAUCGCGAGGCGUUUAAGUUGAGAGGGGAGAAUGCUAGGCUCAAUUUUCCUGAACUCUUCCUUGGUAAAGAGAAGGCAGAAUCAUCAUCUGUAGCAGGACCGGAUUCAUCAGCCUCGGACCCUCCAACUCCCCAUGACAAUUCGGCAUCAAGAAGCGGGGAUCAGCCACAGCAGCCUGAUCAAGCUCCUGAAGGGCUUAAUAUGGAUGUGUACAUCCCAGAGCUGCCAGCAGCUGCAUUAAUGGGAGAUAAUCCUGAUGAUGACUCUGGGCUGGGAUCGAGCGAAGUUACGGCUAGCGAUGAAGUUCCAGCCUUUGCAGAGAGCAGUUCUGCUGCAGCUGAAGGUGCAUUACAUCCACAGUCAUCUGAGUUAGUUUGGGGUGAAAUGGCUGACGCUUGGUUCAAUUCAAUACCAGCAGGUUGGGGUCCAGGUAGUCCAGUUUGGGAUGAUUUGGAUUCGUCCAAUAAUCUCAUGUUACCUCCUGAUCUUCCCUUUGUCAACCUUCAUCAACAAAGUUCUCAUGAUUCUGAUUCUCAGAGGCAGCUUGAUAAUGCUGCUUCAUCUUCUUCGACUUCAUAUCCAGUGAGACCCUUCUUUUGGAAGGAUCGAGAGUGAAACUUUUAACUCAGAAUCUGCAGCAUUAGGCUCAAACUAGUCAUCCCACUUGCACUCAGACAUGCAUGGACACAGGCACAAAAUUUGCAUUCCUUUCCCUCUUCUCCUCAAAAUUCUUUCUAGUAGGAGUGCAGUUUUAGACAAUCUCCUCAAUUCUUCUUUUCCUUUUUCUGGUCACACACGUGAUACAUGCUAUGACUCCUUAGAUCCUUCACUUUUUUUUUCCCUUUCUUUCCUUUUUUUUUCUUUUUUCGAAUUCCUAAUCAUGUCCUUUGACUACAAAUUCUUCCUCGUCUCUUUUCCACCACUCCAUCCUCAGGUUGCUGAAUUUUUGCAGAACAACCUCUGGAAUUCAUUCUGCUUGCUUUCUUUCUUUUUCCAUAUUGGCCUUUAACCUCUUUUUCACUUUCUCGUACAAACCCAGCCAUCCUGUCUCCUCCUCACCAGUCAGCAAAGAAAGGGCUGCAUAUUAUAGGCCCUCCUUCUGCAGUGGCAAAUUGAUCAGUGCCUUAAUUACUUCGUUGUGCAAAGAGUAAUGCUGUUUUGUUCAUGUCAAUGCUAUUCCUUAGAACAUGUCAUGCUACGAUUCUAUGUAGAACAUAUUAAUGUUCUAUCUAUUGGUAAUUUUCUGGUGAUGGAUGUUUCAUUCAGCAGCCUAGAAACCAGCAAAAGGGGGACAGUUUUUUUUCCCUCCUUACAUCCAUUCCUCACGAACUUUUGAUCUGUGAGGAUGGGAAAUUAGAGAAGUUAGUGUACAUUUUCUCUAGGUGUGUGUUAUGAUAUUAUCAUAUUAUGGUUGUAAUUCUGCAUUUCCUAUUAUGCUGACAUUAUUAGAGCAGCUUGCAGUUUCUUUCUCAUCUCUUGUUUUCCUUGUCAUACUUUUGACUACCUGUUUUAGUAUUUUAUUCCAUUGUACGAGCACUAGAGGUUAAGUUUGCCAUGGUUUAUCAUGAAUUCUACACCUGCAUGUAAAUUUUUUUUUUUAAGAAAAGAAAAACUACUAUUCCAUGACACAGUUGUCUCUUUAGGGCCUUAAAAACGCCAAAAACUCUCUCAUGGGAGCUUUACCAAAAUUAGCAACCUUUGCAUCAACUACGAAUAAAACAAGAGUAAAUCUUAUAUACGGUUAGUGUACACAUUAUCAUCGUUUAAUUCAUGAUAUGUGUGAAAAAGUUAAAUUUCAAAUUAAAAAUUUGCAUAGUUAUCAUUCAUUCAACGCUGACAGUGUAUACACUGUGCGUGUAGGAAAAGAUUAAUCCAUAAAACAAUAAAAAUGUAACUUUAUCUUGUUAUAGUGCAAUUUAGCCAAUAGCGAGGAAGAAAUGUGCAUACCAAUUUUUACUUUGGCACACAUUUCUAUUUCUAGUUGUUAGAUACAAGAUGGCCUUGGCAAUACAUGACACUUAAAUUCAACAUUUUGACAUUCAUCUUCUUUAACCAUAUUUGACCUUUCAAGAUUGGGUAUUAGUCUUUAUGAAGGUAACAAAAAAUUGGUACUUGAUUGUCUUGAUCCAUCAAGGAUAUGAGACACUAACUAUGAUUACAGCUUCCCUUUGGACUCCGCCGCGCGCCCCCCACUUCAAAGUCAACUUUGAUGCCUCAGUAUCCACUAUUCACCGUCUUGUUGGGAUUGGUGUGGUUAUUCGUGACUGUGAGGGCCAGUUUAUUGCCGGCUUAUCCAGGAGAAUCCCAAUCCAAACUAGUGCAGACCUGGCAGAGGCUCUUGCUGCAAGGGAGGCGGUAUCGCUGGCUAGAACUUUGAUGAUUCCAAGCUUCAUACUUGAGGGGGACGCGUCCUCAGUGGUUAAGCAAAUUUGUAGCUCAGAUGAGAUUCUCUCUGACCUCGGCACUGUUAUAGAGGACAUCCGUCUUUCCUUGCUCAAUCUACCCAUGUUGAACGUGGUCUGGACUCCUAGAGAAGCAAAUAGGGUUGCGCAUAGUUUAGCACAGUUUGCUAGAUCUUCCAGUCUCUCUGAAUCUCUCUGGAACUUCCCCCGGCUUUUGCCAAACAGUUGGUGUUGGACGAUAUCCAGCAAUCUAAUUAAUACAACCUCUUUUACUUUUUCAAAAAAAAAAAAACUAUGAUUACAGCUUCAUUUAUUCAUACUUUCAAAUUAUCUAGGUUCAAAAUAAAUUCUAUCUUUGCAAGUGCAAAAUUAAUAUCUGCAUAUACCAUCCAAGAAAAUUUACACUUAAUACUAUCACCCUACAUUCCCAAAUUAGCCAUAAAUUUAGAAGUUUGAAAUGAUAUUUUACACACACACACACACUUGACACAUCAAUGCUGAAAAGCACAAGAAUAGAAUCUCAAAAUGCUCCUUUUAUCUUGUUAUAAAGAUGCUUCUUCUUUGGGGAAUCUUCCUAUCCCUUGAGCAUAACUUAUCAGACCCAAAAUUAUAUUGAGUCUUGGAAUAACAAUGGGUGGCCAUGCACAAACGACAUAGUAGUUAAUAAGCAUGCGUUUCUUAAUUAAGUAUAGCACUUAAACAAAUCUCUUAAUUAAUCCUCUAAGAUGGGGUGAUUGACAAAAUAUAUAAUUUGAAUUUAGUGGGCCCAGUUUGCCGGCCCAUGAUAUCAUCUCUGGCUUUCUUGGUUGUGACGGCAGUGCACUAGGUGACGAGAAAAUGAUAUGGUUAAUAAUUAGUAUAAUUAAUUAAAAAAGUAAAAUAUCUAAUCUUUGUGCUAAGAGCCUAAGACAGCCAUAAUCCAUCUUAUUAGCUUGGUCCCCACCACCAUUUACCUAAUCCUUAAACCACGCCCAACAUUUUGAUGUCAUGGUAAGGCUGCUAGUUAAAAAAUUCAUGAAUGGCUGGAUUGUAGUAAAUAUGGUAAUCCUUCCAUUUCUUUCUUUCUUUUCUUUUUAGUACAUCAUUUUUGUAAUUCAAAGGAAAUGGGAAAAUGGUGAGUUGCAAUGAUAAUUAUGAGGGUCAAAUCUUAUCUUAUUGCCAAGAUUUGUUGGAACUCAUCAUUAUUUGUAUUGAUUUUUUGAAUCUGUUGUAUCUAUUGAUUUCACGUCUGUAUGUGUCUGUAUCAUGUUUGAUUUGAUGUAUUUCUGCCGUUACUGCAGAUUUAUUGACCCAAAUGAUAUUUUCUAUUGAAAAAAACAAUAAUAAUCUUGGCUUAUUGCCUGAAGGAAAUAUGGGUUUAUCACUUGAUGCCUCCCUUCAAUUCCACAGCUUGAUAUGUAAUUUUUAUUUUUCCUCUCCUAUGGCAUAACGUAACUAUAAGCAUGAUCUAUUUCCUAAUAUCAUAAGUAAUCAGUCAUACUUCUAUUUAUCCUCAAAAUUAAGAAAAAUAACUUGGAAAGUCUUCAUGUUUAUCAAAUUCUUCUAAUGCAUAAUACUCUCUAGAUUUUGUACAACAAUAAUGUUUUCUACCUAAAUCAACAUCAUAACUAACGACUUUUAUGCAGAAAAAUAGGUUAUGAACUUUCUUUUCCCCCUAAAUACGGCGUACGAAAGAUUAAUCCAUAAACUUACAUAAAAUUUUCAAACAAAUAAUGGGUUCAGCACUAAAGCUUCAAAGGGCAAGAACAUUACAUAGAUAUCUAUUUUACAAACUGCUUUUUAGUCUAAAGUAUAAGAGGAGAAAAACUAUUUUUUGUUUCUUCAGGGAAAUAUAUGAUUAUGAAUGAAAUCAGCGAAAGCAAAUACUGAGAAGAUUUUGUUAAGCUUCACCUGAAUAAUUCUUUAGAUUUACUCAUAAAGAAUCAUCCAGACCCGUAGAAAAAGUCGAAAUAUACAUAAUCAACAUUCAAGCUGCUCCAGAUGAAGCUCAACUAGUUUAUGAUUGACGAAGACUAAAAUAGUGCCUUGAACACAAAAGUUAGUAAUUUUUUUUUAAUAGGAAGACUAAGACUUCUGACCAAAUCAUGAGAAUUCUGACCAUGACGGGAAUUUGUGGACAGUUUAAAAAUCUUAUAAUGUAUGUAGUAAGCAUAAUUUAUCAAAAUUGGCUUGCAAAGGUUGGCACCAACCUAAAUUGCUGAUAUGAGACUUGAUAGCAUUCUAGCCACAAACUCUAUAGCUUUGUACUGGUUACCGAAAGUGUCAAAGGAUUUAGGUGACUUACUGCCUCUGCGGGGAAUUCUAUUCAACCCCAAAAUAAAUUCCUUCACUAAUGUCUCCAUCUCCUUAAUGGCAAUUCUCUCUUUCGUACCUUAUGAAAGUCUUUGACCUCACAUUUCUACAAUCAUAGGUCACAAACAAAUAAUACAAGUUGACAACUCUUUUCUUAUUUAUUUUGUUUUGUACUUCAUUUAUGUUUAUAUAUAUAUAUAUAUAUAUAUAGAAAUAUAUAUUUGCAUUUUAAUAUGCUCUAGAUCUUUUGUAGUAGUUUAAAGUGACUUGUAUUUCUAGCAAUCAUCUCAUGUAAGUUAUUCAUUUUUUCAUUGGAUUAGUCAGAGAUGAUUGAGGGUUAACUUGGCGUGUUGUAUCAACUCACUAAAAGAGUUCGUGUAGGAUAAUAAAGUCAUAAUUUGCUGAAAAUUUAUUGUGCAAAAGAGUUGGACCCAUGACACACCAUAAUGGACAAAUUAGAAAUCAAAUUAUCACUAUUGAUUUCUCAUUGAAUUUACAACUAACCCCCAUUGUUUACAUGCAUAACAUCAAGGACUAAUGUGGAAUUAUACAAAAAUUCAGGCGUGACUACCAAAAAUUUUGAGUUGGGCCUAGCUGGGAUAUAGAGUGCAAAGGCCCUGAUAACUGCCAAAAAUCUUUUUUGACACAGCGGCCUUUUAAGAGCCUCAUUGGGCUCUUAUCAAGCCCACUUGGUUUUUUUUUUUUUUUUUUGGUAUUUCCAACUAAGUAGGCUUUUAUACCCAAAUAAAUUGAAGUAUCUCUAAUAAAAAAGUUACUGACAAGACAAGUAGGGCUUGAAACGAGUCAAGUCAAAUUAAGUUUUGAUUUAAUCUAUCUGAAGCUCGAUUUAAUUUUAUCAAGGUCAAACUUGAACUCAAACUUGAACUGAGCUCUCAAUAAAAAAUACAAGAUCGAACUCGACCUCAAAUUCAAGGCAAAUUGAGCUCGAACUCGAGUUUAAAAAAAAUAAAAAUAAUUAUUUUAUAUUUUAAAAAAUGAAUAAAAUAAUAUUUUUUAAAAAAAUAAUAAAAUAUUAUGAAUAUGUAAAUUUGAGUUAAUUAACGAGUUAAUGAGCUGAAUAUCUUUAAACUUGACUUCGAACUUGAGCUCGAUUAAUACUGAGUUCGAGUCGAACUUUGAUUUGAACUAGUUGCGAUCGGCUCGAUUGACAUGCACCCUACUGACUAGGGAUGAGCAAACAGUACAAAUUCGAUAAUUCGGUUAGCUGAAUUCGGUGAAUUCUGUUAUUUGGCUUUUAGAAAUCUAAACCGCUUUCAAUUUCGAAUUGGCUAUAACCGAAUUCAUUUCGUAACCGAUUUCGAAUUCAGAAAUGGUAGUGAAUUCGGUUAACCAAAUUCAUUUAUAAAAAAAAAAGCUGAUUUUUUAAAAAUUAUUAUUGAUUUGAUCCCCAAAUUUAUUCAUAAUUUAACACAUUACUUAUGUUCUAAUCAUUUUGUGGUUUUAUUUAAUUGGCAUUUAUUUGAUCGCUUAUACCUAGAAUCCUUAGUCUAUGAUUUAAGGAACACAUAAAAAGUGAUUAAUUUAAACUAGAAUAAACCUUAGACUAUACAAUGAUUAGUGAUAAUUUAUGAAUUUAUAAUUUACAAUGAUUAAUAAUAAGUAAUAUUAGUUACAAACUUACAAAUUACAAUGAUUAGUAACAAGUUAUAUUAGUUACAAACUUAUAAUUUAUUUCAAAUCAAAAUAAAACUUAUUUACUUACAUAUGUUAUUGUGAAAGUCAAUACACUAAUACAUUGAUUUGCAGUUCAUAUGCAUUCACUCACACUGCUUAGUUGUCUUGUCUAUAUUUAAAGCCCUAAGAUUAGUGAAUAGAGAAUAUGAAUUUUUAUGUUAAAUAUGUAAUGUAAAUUUAGAGCACAUUAAUACUUGCAAUUUACAGCUUACGCGUUCAAAUAUUUAAUAAUUCAAACAUGAAUGAUGUAUCAAAUUACCAAUAUCUAAAUUCUAAUUACUAAUUAUGUUUAUUGUUUAAUAUUUAGUAUUAUACAUAUAUGUAUUAAUUAUUAUCUAAUUCUAGUCAUGUUACUCAUGUAUAAAAUAAUAAGUAUUAUAGUUAUGUUAUAUUGUUAUGUAUUACUAUAUAUUUGUAUUAUUGUAGUCAUAUAACAAUUAACAAAUAGUAAAAUAAUAUAUUGUACAUUAUUAGAUAUUAUUAUUAUUAUAAGUACAUGAUAAUACCAUAUACUAACUAUUAUUAAUAGCAUUUACCUAUAUAAUAUAAUAACAUAUUAGUAGUAUAUACUAAUACUAAAUAGCAUUUAUCUAUAUAUUAUAUAAUUUUAUAAACUAAUUUGGUAUUCGAAUGCAGUAAUGCGGUACCCUAUUUCAUUUUACCGAAUUUGAAUGCGAAAUCGGUUAUUACCAAAUUCAUAAUCUUAUUAUCUAUUUUAUACUAUAUUAGAAUUCGGUGAAUUUGGUAUGUAACGAAUUUAUACCAAAUUACCAAAUAUCUGAUUUUAAAUUAUCAAAUUAAAUUUGAAUUCGAUUAUGAAUUCGGUAUAUGACGAAUUUGCUCACCCCUGACAAUGGCCAGGAUAGCACCAAAUGCAUUCCUACCUAUCAAAUGGAAAUCCAGAGACCAAAUUUUGAUUGGAGGAAUGGAAGCUUAGUUGGCAGUUUUAUUAUCCGUCUCAUUUCCCUCCCCAUCAUCAUCAUAUCCUACUAUGACAAUAAUGUCUGCUUUGUUAUAGACAGACGAUUUCAUAUCUGUAGACCUGUUUUAGAGACUUGUUUUUAAGUACACUGAACUUGAUCACACAUAAGAUUCUGGUUCUUGGGAAACAUAGCUCAAUUUCCUUGUCAUCUGCUACAACUUGAUUGCAUGGCUUUGCAAGCGGCUGCUUUACUUCCAUCUGCUCUAUCCCUCCACAAGGAGGUAUGUCCAUGUCACAAGUGUCUGUACCAGUAAUUUUCUGAUUUCUUGAUGCUACUGUUUGAGUUAAUGAAGAAAUUACUGUUACUUCUGUUAACAGGGCAAGUCGAAUGCAGCUCUGAAGGAGACAACGCUAUUUGGCGUUUCAGUGUCAAAUCAUCUUAAAGCUGAUUUUAUUUCUUCUUCCAAAUUGAGCAAGGUAAUGUGUACUCGGGUUCUCUCAGUUUUGGCAUGUUUUGGAUUGUACUUGAGAAAAUGGUUUGUGAGAUGGAGCAAGAUUAAAUAGGGGUGCUAAUUGAUAUUCUGUGGGUGGAUGAAGAUGUGCUCAUUUUCUUGAAUUCAGGGAUUAAGCCUGUUAAUUAAGUAUUCUUUUGAGUGCGAAUGAUCAAUAAUCCUUAACUACCAAUUGAAUGUUCUGAUAUCCUAUUUAAUUGAUUUUUGAUAGCCUAUGAUACGAGUACUGCAGAAUCUUGUUGGUGCAGAGGAGGCCAAGAUCCCUAGUUUCCUUUUUUUUUUUUGUUGGGGGGGGGGGGUUGUUUUAAUCACAAAACACAAAACCUUGCAGCUUAUGUCCUUUAUCUACCAAAGUUGUCGGCUUAUCUGUUUUCUUCUUUAAUCAUGCAUUGAACAUAUAAUAAUCCAGUCAGUCAGAAGAGCUUGUUAAUCUUGGAUGAAGGUGCUAAAUAGAAUUCAUUGUUGCAUUCCUAAAACCUCUUUGUUCAAUAGAGUGCAUAAUGUAUGUGUUUAUCACCAAACAGAUUCUCAAGUCAAUUUACGCUCGUAUACCAUAGCUGCUAGUCCAAUUAAAAAGAGAAGAACAGCGAUAAACAUCCCUCUUUCUUCCUUCCCAGAUAGAAAUUACACAAGAUGGGCAGUGAACCUCAAAUGUGUCAAAUUCAUCAAAGUUCAACAUGAAACGUAUGCUAAAAGUUCAUAAAACUGCAACUUGGAGCCUUGGAUUAGUACUGUUUCACAAACUUAUGCGUGCUUGGACCAAAACUACUGGCUAAAGCAUUUGGUUCCAUGUUUGUAGGAUUUUAGGAGGAGAUCGUCACUUGGAACUAUUAGAGCACAAACAGUAUCAGCUCCAGAAAUCAGCCAGGCUGCAUCAGAAGAGAAGAAGACUUUGAGAAAAGGUAAUGUCAUAAUUACAGGAGCCUCCUCAGGAUUAGGUCUGGCUGCAGCAAAGGCAAUCAGUGAAACGGGAAAAUGGCAUGUCAUCAUGGCUUGCAGGAAUUUCCUCAAGGCUGAGAAAGCUGCUAAAUCAGCUGGCAUUUCAAAGGAAAACUAUACGGUCAUGCAUCUUGACCUUGCUUCACUUGAAAGUGUACGUCAAUUUGCAGACGCAUUUCGACAAUCUGGGAGGCCACUUGAUGUGCUAGUUUGCAAUGCUGCAGUAUACUUCCCCACUGCAAAAGAGCCAACAUAUACAGCUGAAGGUUUUGAGUUAAGUGUUGGCACGAACCAUCUUGGUCAUUUCCUCCUUUCAAGGUUGCUGCUAGAUGACCUGAAGCAGUCAGACUACCCCCAGAAACGCCUUAUAAUUGUUGGGUCCAUAACUGGUAAUCUCUACUCACCACAUGUGCAGACUGCACCAAGUGAUCUUUGAAAACUCUAGUCAAUUUCUGAAUCUAAUAUAGGAGCAACUCAAUGAAGCUGGCAAAAAGAAGAAAUCCCUGGUACAUUUAGCGAAAAUGAGUCAUUAUCUUGCUAGGAUUCAAAAUUUCAAAUCAUAGGAUCAGAUGAUGAGGGAGUCAGCUACUAAACUAGGCAUUUAUUCCUGAGAAGAACUUUGUUCUGAUAAUGCAAUUAGGUCCUUAAGGACAGUGUCUUUGUUUCAGUUCAGUUUCAUAGAGAGUAUAUUUCUGUUCUUAACAGGUCUAAAGAAAUUGAGCUGCUGUAUUUAUAGACCUUUUAUGCUUUUGUCCCAUCAGGAAACACGAAUACCUUGGCAGGCAAUGUGCCACCAAAGGCUAACCUUGGGGAUCUAAGGGGACUGUCAAGUGGCUUGACUGGACGAGAUUCCUCACCAAUGAUAGAUGGUGGACAGUUUGAUGGAGCAAAAGCCUACAAAGACAGCAAAGUUUGCAACAUGCUCACUAUGCAAGAAUUCCAUAGAAGGUUUCAUGAGGAGACAGGCAUCAGCUUCGCCUCUCUCUACCCAGGAUGCAUUGCUGAAACUGGUCUUUUCAGGGAACACAUCCCACUGUUCAGGCUUCUCUUCCCCCCAUUCCAGAAGUACAUUACAAAAGGCUAUGUGUCUGAAGAAGAAGCUGGAAAAAGACUUGCACAGGUCAGUGAAAAUCACACAGCAAGAUAGAUAUGCAUCCAGUUUUGCAAACAGACUUACAGUUUCUUUCUGAACCACAGGUAAUAAGUGAUCCUAGCCUAUCAAAAUCAGGUGUUUAUUGGAGCUGGAACAAGAACUCAUCUUCAUUUGAAAACCGGCUAUCAAAAGAAGCCAGUGACUCAGAAAAGGCACGUAAACUGUGGGAGAUCAGUGAAAAGCUUGUUGGAUUAGCUUAAAGAAAACUUGGAGGGCACAACUCAAGUCUCUGUCAUCAUAAGCAAGGUUUGUGUAGUUAAGAUUGACCUGGAAAGAAAAUUACAAUGAGCGAUUCCUAAAACAAAAUAACUUGCGCCUAGAAAGAUUAGAAAGGUGAGCCAUCCUUUGUACAGAUGAGGCCUUUGUAAAAAUAGCUUUGUCAUUUUGCUCAUGUGACAUUUCAAUUAUAGUGUGUCUCUUUCAUAUGCUCUGAAAAUUUUCGUUUUCCCCUUGACAGAGAAUGUUGUCAAUUGUUUUAUUGAUAUGUUUUUGGUUAAUGCGAUUUAUACAAGAAUACUUUCAUUGAGAACUAUAUUCAUUCCUAGAGCAAGAAACUCAAAGUUGUGGAGAUUUUCAACUGCGAGCUUACCUUCUCCCAACAGAGUUUCUUCGGAGUUCCAGACUAACCUCACCAUAGGCUUGAUGCUUCGGCACUGAUCAGCACGCAUUCCAUGACCAAGAUAGAGGUUUGCUUAAGGGUUUUGUACACUGCCGCCUGAUCUUGUGCUUCAAUUGCCUGGGCGCAAAUUACAGACAACUGAAAACUACACUUCCUUUGGCAUCACCUUGAAGGUGUAGACUGUGUUCAAUGGCAAAAGUCACGCCUUCUUUCUCAUUUUGCCUUCCACUUGAAACGGUGCAAGUAAACACAAGGCAACUGAAUUUGAGCACCAUUACAAUUUUGCCUUCACACAUGCACAGGCGUUAACUUCUUUCCUGUAUCGAGUCAGGCCUCUAGACUCAUAUUAAAGGCGUGAAGCUACAACUGCAAGUGAAUCACGCCUUCAAGUGCCAGUGCCGUCUGUUCCAUUUUUGUCCCCAUCUCCAAAAGUGCAUUUCCAAUUUUUCCGCUACAGAAAAAAUUCCCGGGAUACAUCAUCAGAAAAUCAUUUAGUAUAGUUCCAGGCAACAACUGAAAGUCAAACUCAAAGCCCUCUGAUCAUUUCACAGAGGUUUUAGCCCAGAAGACCCAAUAAACAAAUGUUAAAAAAAAAAAGAAGGUAAAAACUUUGCCCAAUCUUCUCUGCAUUUUGGCAGAUGAUUCAUGGGUUUUACUCUGACAGUUUUGGCUAACUUAAAGAGGCCAAGAAACCCAUAAAAGAUUUUGGUUAAAUCGCAGACUUUUGCUGAUAUUAUUGCCUCCAUCUCCGUCUUGAUUCUUAAAUUCCACCCCCUUCCUUACUAAAAAAAAAAAAAAAGAGUAUCCAAUAAUAUUGUCUGUUGCUAUUUUUGCAAUUUGCAGCCAGUAUUUACUACCUCUAAAGAAGGAAGAAACUCAUAAACAGUCUUGGCUCUUGAGUCAAUCCCAGUUUUUCCUCUACUCUUCUUGGAGCUUAGGAAUGGGUAUUCCACAGCGUUGUCUUCUUUUGCUUUGAAGAACUAAGAGCAAGUACAAAAAAAUGGAUCUUGAGCUAACUGAUAAUGCUGGUGAUGCCUCAGAUCAUCAUAAGCUGGUGGAAAAGAGAAGGAAGAGUACAAGGAAAUUCGUUCUUGCUUGUGCUGCUUUUGCAUCUAUUAACAAUGUCCUUAUCGGCUAUGGUAUGUUAUUUGACUUUGAUUUUCAUGUCCACUUCGAUUGGUAAAUGAUUAGCCCUUUUCUUAUAUAUCAGAUUUUGCACUUUUAGCUGAUAAACUUUGCUCUGUUCAAUGUUUAGAGUGUUUGUUCAUCUUUGACCACAAAAAAAAAACAAAUAAAUAAUUUGAGAUUAGACGAAGAUCAAACACUGAUAAAUCCUGGUUUUUCGAUAUCAUGGUGAUACUUUUAGCCGCUUUGGAGAGAAAAUAUGGAAAAAGAGUGUAUUUUUUUUUUUUAGAUUUAGUAAUGUUCUUCCCAUAUUGAGCUCUUUGAUCUACUAGACUUGUACAGGUUCUCCGGUCUCUGUUUUCACUUUUUGAUGUUUGUUAAGCUAUUGUUAACAAAUAAAGAAUCACUCUGAUAGUAGCAUAACCUCAGUUGUGUCAUUCCUUAGCUCUGUAAUCCUUAAUGUGCCUUUAAUGGGCCAUCAAGGACAGUGAGUACAUUGGGUCGAUAGAUAAAACAGGGGUAUGAUUAUAUGGCAAGAAUAUCAGGCUUUCAUGCAUCUAUCAUGAUUGCAAUGAAGCAGCAGGCAAGCAUCGUGCAAGUAUAAACUGUCAAGUGCCGUGAAUUCAUUUUACUGGCAUAUCUGCUGUCAAAUGGUAUGUAGUAGUGUCUCUCGAAAUCUACAUAUUAAUGUGUUGUUUGGGCAAUUAAACUUUUUAAGAUGAGCUAGUUAGGCCAAUCAGAUAUUCUUUAGUGGUUCCUCCUGAGGUUACAUGAUGUUCUUUUAUAUUUCUUGCUGUGACUUUUGUUAGUUGACGCUGAUAAUAAGGGUAAAGAGAAAUUUCAGCUCUAGCAUGUGCAUAUGGCACCAUGUGACUUGAGGUCGGUUUUUUCGGUACACAGAUGUAGGUGUCAUGAGUGGGGCAAUACUAUUUAUUAAAGAAGAUUUGAAGACAACAGAGGUGCAAGAAGAAAUUUUUCUUGGUAUCUUGAGCAUAAUAUCAAUUUUGGGUAUUUUAGCUGGUGGAAGAAUAUCUGAUGCCAUUGGGAGAAAACCAGCAAUGGGUUUAGCUGCUUUUGUCUUCCAAGCAGGAGCAGUCAUAAUGACUGUAUCCCCCACAUUUGAGGUACUAAUGAUAGGAAGAAUCUUGGCUGGAAUUGGAAUUGGUUUUGGAGUCAUGAUUGCACCUGUUUACAUUGCAGAGAUAUCACCUGCAUUUGCUAGAGGUUCCCUCUCCUCCUUUCCUGAGAUUUUCAUAAAUCUGGGAAUCCUUUUAGGUUUUGUCUCCAACUAUGCAUUUUCUGGUCUUCCAGCACACCUAAACUGGAGGAUAAUGCUUGCAGUGGGAAUUCUGCCUGCAGUCUUCAUUGCAUUUGCACUAUGCAUAAUUCCUGAGUCACCACGGUGGUUAGUUAUGCAGAACCGAAUUCAAGAGGCAAGGGCUAUUCUGUUGAAAACAAAUGAUAAUGACACAGAGGUAGAUGAGAGGCUAUCAGAAAUUCAAUUAGCUGCUGGAAUUACUGAUGCCGAGAAGCAUCAAAGCAAGGCUGUGUGGCGUGAAUUGCUAAGUCCUACUCCAGCACUUCGCAGGAUGAUGAUCACUGGUUUCGGAAUCCAGUGUUUCCAACAGAUUACUGGCAUUGAUGCAACUAUUUAUUAUAGUCCCAAGAUCUUUAAAGCUGCUGGUAUUGAUGGUAACUCAAACCUUCUUGCAGCAACAGUGGCUGUGGGGGUUACAAAGACGGCAUUUAUACUUGUAGCUAUUGUUCUUAUCGACAAAGUUGGGAGAAAGCCACUGCUCUAUGUGAGCACAAUUGGUAUGACUUUAUGUCUGUUUACAUUGGGAACCAGCCUUUCCAUUCCGGGAGAGGGAUCUGUCGGAAUAGCAUUGGCAAUACUAUCAGUCUGUGCAAAUGUAGCUUUCUUUUCCGUGGGUAUUGGUCCCGUUUGUUGGGUUUUGACUUCUGAAAUCUUUCCUUUGAGGCUAAGAGCUCAAGCAUCAGCACUUGGAGGAGUUUGCAGCAGAGUAUGCAGUGGCCUGAUUGCUAUGUCCUUCCUCUCUGUUUCGCAUGCAAUUACUACGGCUGGGAUCUUUCUUGUGUUUAGUUUACUUUCAGCAAUUUCUGUUGCCUUUGUCUAUACAAUGGUUCCAGAAACUAAAGGUAAAUCUCUGGAGCAGAUUGAGCUGCUGUUCCAAAAUAAUAUCUGCGGAGGUUUUGGUAUCAAAAAUUUCAUCUCCUCAAAGUUUCUUGGCGACAAACAUAAAGUGUCAGCACGCACAGCUUGAGAUGAUACAAGUAGGACAGUUUGGGCAGGAAUUUGUAGCCUCAACUUUUGGUUAGUCCUACGUAUAGAGCCACAUGUAUCUCUUUCCUUUUUUUUUUUUCUUUUUUUUGUACAUAAUGGUCUUGCUUCUGACUGCUUACUCUUCAAUAUCAAAAGCCUCCUUUUAAUUUCAUUAAAAAUGUUUUAUACCACAGCAAGAUCUGUAUUCUGAACGGUAAAAGGACCAGCUCUUGUAUUUUUUUUUUUUUCCUUUUUUUGGGUUGGAUAUAACUUGUCAGACAAUGGUUUAUAGCUGUCAAGGCUAAUUUCACUUUUCACUCUUCAACUAUAUCUAGAUUUCAACUUUGGUCUUUGAACUUUAAAAUGGAAUACUUUAGUCCCUAAAAUAUAAAAAUUUCUUCCACUUAAAUAAAAUCAUUGAUGAGAGCGGGAUCAAGUUUAUACUUAAGUGUGAUAAAUUUUAUAUUUUAUGGAUUAAAGUAGAAUAAUUUUUAUACUUUAGGAACUAAAGUGUUCUAUUUUAAAAUUUAAGAAUUUAACACUUUUUGACAGUAAGAAGAACUUUAAGAAUCAUAUUUUGACCACCAAACAAACAUAGUGGUUAAUUUUUUAACAUAUAUGGUCAUAUUUAUAAGGCCUAAAUCUUUAAGCCCAAUAAAUUUUGAUUUAAACUUUUUUUUUUCAAUUGAGAUUAUUUUUUCGUUGAACUGAUUUUUAUGAGUAGCAUUCAAUACUAAUAAUGAUUUUAAGAAAACACAUUAUUAAUAUCCAUAGAUUAGUAAUUAGGAAGAUCAUUGAACUUGAUCUAGUGAUGCUGUCUCCAAAACUGAUUCACCGGAUUGGAUCGUAUGUGAUUAGGAAGUUAUGCGGAUCAGAUUCGUGUUUCAUAUUCGGCUAUUGGUCUUUUUAUUUUUUAUUUUUCUACUUGGGCAAAAGUUCGAGGUCCUUCACUGCAAUUAACCUUUGUUGAAAAUCAGCAUUGGAAGAAAAAUAUAAAAAGGUUGAAAAUUUAAGGCGAAUACGCAAACAGUAACUGUAGAGGAUCAAGAAAUGGUGAACUGGGGAAUUGCAGAACUCCACAGAAACUCGGGCAACUGGGACAACCUAGUUAAGGAUAUAGUGAAGAUGGAGAAAAAGAUUUUCCCAAAACACGAAUCACUUGCUCGAUCGUUUGAUGAAGAACUCAAGAAAAGGAACAGUGGGCUGCUUUACUCCCAGGUUGAAGAUGGAGAUGUUGCUGGCUAUGUCAUGUACUCUUGGCCUUCUUCGAUUUCUGCUUCCAUUACAAAACUUGCAGGUUCUAUUUCUAUACUCAUCAUCUUGCAGCCAUUAUUAAUACUGGUUCGGUUUUCUUGUUGAAAUUUAUUUGUUGCGCUAAUCCCUUUCGUGGGAUUCGUCAUGUUCGAAUUUGAGAAUUCAGGAGCUUAAUUGCUCUUAUUUGUUCAAUAAUACGGAUUAUAGGGAGCUAUUAAAAAGAGCCCAGUUGUAAAAUUACUGGGUAGCCGGAACAAGUCUGUCAUCUUCAAUUCUGUUCUCAGUUUUCAGCGCAAGUCUUUUUUCUUUUUCUUUUUUUUUCAUUUUUUCUUAAGAGCUACUGUUUUAGUAGGCACAGUUAUAAUUUAUCAAAAAUGAAAAGAAGCGUAAAUGGUUAGGUAGCAUGGAAUUUGAACUGAUUAUUCAGAGUUUGAGUUCUUCUAUUAGCAAAUGCAGGUUGGUUGAUAGAAAAUUGACUCAGCAUUGAGAAUCGUUAUAGGUUUUUUAUGCACAGACUACAGAUUAAAUUAGACUUCUAUCAUAAUUGUGCUGAUUUGUCCACAGAUCGAAGUUAGGCUUGGUACAACUAGUGUACCAACUUAGCAACAUAAAGGCGAAAAAUGCAGAUUGCUAGUUGUGCAUCUUAUAAAUGGUGGGUCUGUGUAACAGAAUGUUUCUUUGUUGAAUUUCUGCUUAGUUUUGUCUUUUGCACUGAUUGAUCUUAUUCCUUUUGUUUUGCAACACUACAAUUUGUCUUCCUCCCCAAAUUUCUUAAUUCAUGUCAUUUUCCAGCAAAAUUUCUGCUUAGUUUUGUCUUUUGCACUGAUUGAUCUUAUUCCUUUUGUUUUGCAACACUACAAUUUGUCUACCUCCCCAAAUUUCUUAAUUCAUGUCAUUUUCCAGCAAAAUUGGCAUGUGUUAAGGGCUUAAGGCCCCUAGCCCUUAACACGAAAUUAGACGUGGGGUAGUCACCCCAAUCACAUCUGCUUCUAGGAGGUACCUGAGGCCUGUAGGUGGUGUAUCCAUUGAACUCUGUGAUAGCUGGUGCUGGACUGCUUCUUUGGCUAGCCUUGCAAGAGAUUAGAUUUCCUUUUGUUAGCAGAUUACAAGAAAAAUUAAACAAAAAUCCUCAUAAAGUUAAGAAGUAGAAUAUGAGAUCAUGAAUUGUUCCACAAACAUGUGGAAACUCUUCUAUUGAGCAAUUGUUGUUGUGCAAGGGUAAUGUCCUGUCUCUCUGCUUUCUGAAGUUACUUUGUCUACUUUUUAGGCUUAUACCUUCGACAUCAAUGACUUAACCUCCUAAAGCGGUCCUCAGGGUAGAAAAUCAUGAAUAUAUGUGCCUUUUGACAUGAAACUCUGGAACAACUCAACUUGAUGUGGUAGUUAGGUCUUUGACCUAUAUAAGUCAUAAUUUAGUGUAGAAAGGACACACAGUAAAAUUGCAGUGUUUCAUUAUCUCAUGCAAGACCACAAAAUGUACAAAAUAGCAUAUCCAUCCUCCUAAGUCAUACCAGCCUCCCUUUUAUGCUGUUCUAGGUUAUGUAUAUUUGCAAAAUGUGAUCCCAUGGAGAAUAUAGCUUCUUAAAACAAUGACAAAAAAUUUAUAACGAAACCCCUUCUGUGGAUUUGAGAUCUUCCUUUUCUUUAUAACCUCCUCAUCUUAUAAAGGAGUGUUUAAACAAGAAUUACAUGAUUCAGGCUGGUUUGCACUACACAUUCUUCAGAGCAAUAUAAUCCUGAAAUUUUUCACCAGGUUGAGCAAUGAUUGCCCCUCCUUGGACUGCUCUGACUUAUACCUCAGUUCAAUUCUUGGUGCUCUUUCAGUUAUGGUUUUCCAGACACAUUGAGAAAUAAAGUUGAUGAAUUUAGCCUCAAGCUUGGGGUCUCCCACCAAAAUGGUGGUAUUGCACAUAUCAUUUGUUGACUUGGAGAUAUCAAUUCUUUCUUCCAUCUUUCUUAUUCGGUUUUUGUUUUGAAAGGAAAGGGGAGGGAGGGAGAAAAUUUUCCUCCUGAGGACCAUGACUAGUAAAUGAAAAAAAAUGAUGAAGAUGCACUUUUGAGAAACCUUACUAUCGGCUUCUUUUGAAAGAGAAAUACAGGACAACAACAACGUUCAUCUUUCUCCUAUGAUGCCUUCUGAAAUCCUGCUUCACUCUAACCAAAAUCAACUGUAUGCGAUUCAUUUGGAGAGACUGAAGCCUGUUGAUAAGCUGAUUACAGUUCCUUAUUAGCAUGUUCCUAUCUUGUAUGGUAGUGUUUGGUCCUUGCAUGAAGUGUCUGUGAUUUCAUCCAUUAUUAACUUUUGUGCUACUAAAAGAAGCAUGGAUUUAACUUUUAUUUCACUAUAUAUUGAAUUUUUUUCUGGGUUUAAUUUUGAUUGAUUGUUGUGAUUUUUCUGGCUGGAAAAAAAAAAAUAGUGAAGGAAAAUCAUCGAGGACGAGGGCUUGGAGAAGCAUUGCUGAAGGAAGCGAUCCACAAAUGCGGAACAAGAAAGAUCCAAAGGGUAUCCCUUCAUGUUGAUCCUGAAAGAACUGCAGCUAUGAACCUCUACAAGAAACUGGGAUUCAAAGUGGAUACUCUUGUUGAGGGUUAUUAUUCCCCAGAUCGAAAUGCUUACAGAAUGUACCUUGAUUUUCAAACAGAUUAACUUAAUCAAGUGUUCAUGAAAUUCAUAUAUCACCGUUUGUUUUUUAAUUUUAUUUUAUAGUGAAAUUCCACAUUAUUUGAUCGUUUUUAACUUUUUAUAGAAUUUGUGGCAAUCUUACCCUAUAAUUGCACCCCUAAAACUUUUUAUUUCUUUAAACAUGUUCAAAACGAACCAAGUACUAGUUAAAAAGUAUAAAACAAGAAUGAAUUUAAAAACUUUUGAUACAUAAAAAUGAACAUAAAACUUUGUUAUCUAUUGCAUAAAAAGUAAUUAUUAUCCGAUAAUUUCAAUGUUGUUAUCUGUUUUAAUACUCUAUAUAUUUUUUAACAAAAUUCACAAAACUAUCUCACUGAUUUUGAACUAUAAUUUUUACCUUAAUCUUAUUUGUUGUACACCAAGUUAGUUAGCUGUCCCUCUAAAGUUCUAACUUUGGUCAUACCUUCAAUAGUGAUUCACAAAUAUGUAUGAAAAGUAUUAGCAUGAUCCCAAGGGCUCCAUUUUGGAAGAAGAAAAACAAGCAUAAUAGAAAAAGAAAUUCUGUCCAAACUAAGCAAAAAAAAAAAAAAGGGAAAAUUAGAGCAAGUAAGACACCAAGCCUAGAGAAUUUCGAAAAAUGUUUGAGAAGUUAUAUGUGAAAAAAUGUUACUGCCCAGGAUCGAACUGGGGACCUUCAGUGUGUAAGACUGACGUGAUAACCACUACACCACAGCAACAUUCGAUAUCUUAGUAAUUUUUAUUUACUAACUAUACAUGGGGAAAUUUAGGCGCCGGGUUUGUUUUGGUUUCCUCUCAUUUUGGCUUGGAUUUCGGACUUCGGAAGUUCGGAGCAAAAUUCUUUCUUGUCUGAUCAGCCCUGGUUUAAAUUUAUUCUUCCAAUUAAAGCAAAAGAAAAAAAGAAAAGGGGAUACUGAGCUUAACCCUGACAUCUCUGAUAUUGAUCUGGGGUCAGGGUUUUGCAAAUUUGGUUGAGAAAAUGUCGAGAAUGGCGCGGAGUUGCCUGCAAUCCGUCCUGAAAAUAGUGAAUUCGGGAAUUGGAAUGGUGGGGAUAGCUACGAUUUUGUAUUCCCUUUGGAUGUUUAUGACUUGGCGAAGGCACUUGGGUCCUAAUCCUCCUGAUGUACCUACCCCUUGGUAUUUUUUUCUAUUGAAUUUUCUGCUUUUCUCUGCUUAUAUAUGCCUGAAAAAUGAUGGGCUUUCCUUUUUAUUUAUUGAUUAACAAGAAAGGUGAUUGCUUUAUUGAUUUAUUGGUUGGUUGGUUGGUUUGGUGGACCGGAGGUUAUCUUUCGUUUUCAUGACUGGCCGGUUUGUGAACUCUUUAAACUUUUUUUUAAAAAAAACGAAAGUUUUUUUGUUUUUUGUGUUAUUCUAAUUGGGUUUUUUUUUGGGGGAAAAAUAUUUUACUUCUUUUUUUUUUGGGCUGGUGUUUGUUAUGGAUUGGCAGUUGAGAGCGAAAUGAGAAAAUCAAGGGAGAAAAUUGAUAUGGUUUGGAUUAGAUAUAUCUCGGUAAUGAGGGUUGAAUAAAUACGAUUUGCAAAUGCACCUCUAUAGUGAUGGCUUGGAUUUUUGUGGUGAAUGAGCUCACACAUAAUCAUUAAUUGGAAUCUGAGAAAUGUUCAGAUGAUACUGAUGAAAAUUUUUGAGAACCUAUAUAUUCUGAUGAAAAAGUUUAGAACCUAUGUGAGUGCAUGUUUUUUACUCAAAGCCGAUGCUUUUUUAUCUGAUUUAGGCAAUUUGGCUUUGUUUGUGAGAGAACGUUGGAAAACUAAGUUCUUUCCAUGUUUGGCUGCUGUUUCUUGGGUACAUUUUUUAGCAACCAUCUGUUUAGACAAUGAGAAUUGUAAUGCUCUGUUGUGCUGCAGGUUCAUCUACUCCUUUCUUCUCAUUGGGGUGACUUUGUGUGUUGUGACAUGCUCAGGGCACAUUGCUGCUGAGACUGCUAAUGGUUGCUGUCUUUGUUUUGUAUCCUUUAAGUGAAUGGAUUUUCGUGAAUAGAGUAAUCGUAUUACUGAAGAAAUUAUGCAGGGAUUUUCUGUGGCUGGUGUUUGAUUUUAUCAGUAGCCUUGUUGCAAAAACAUAUAGAUUGCUUUGCCAUGUAGGAGACAUAAAGUUAUCGCCUUUGUAUGGUAUUCUGUGUCUUCUGCUUAUGGACCUCUGGUUUGUGGUUAGGCCUUGGAGGCCUUAGGAACGAGCCUUUAGAGUGCAUUAGGAGUCUUGAGCUUGUCUUAUUGCCUUACUAGAGUGGAAGUGUGUUGAAUGAAGAGCAGACAGUAAACGUCUUUAUUAUGGGUGUUUUAUUCUGUCUCCACUGAUGAAAGCAAUCGUGUAAUCAUUCUCGCCUCUUAUCGUUGGAUUUGGCUAGCCCAUUUCUUUCAGUAUAAACUAGAGUUGUUGUUUUGGCUAUGUGUUAUGCUUUCAUUGCUUUUCUGGUGCAUGUUUGCAACAUGGUCUCCUAUCCUUCAACAUGGCAAGGACAGUCUUGUUUUCCUUUAAUUAUAAUUCUUGGUGAACUCAUUGAACCUGUGGUUGGUUGUAAACUUGUUCUUUUCAAAACCUAUUGAACCAUUUAUUUAAGUUGGCUGGGCUUUCUGUUUGUAAUGCUCUUUCCUUAAUAAGAAGAUUAGCAGGCAAUGAGUAAUGUUAGGGCAAGAAAAAGCAGAAAUUUUAACCACGCAGACAUUAGCUGAGCUUAACGAGUAGCAAGGUUCACCUUUAAUGCUUUUCAAUUUCUUUCUUUUCCAGUCUUGCAAGAAAUUCUGGUUUAUAAGUUGAUGCAAGGCCUUUUUCUUUUUCUUUUUUUUUUUUUUUUUUGUAAUGGAUCAGGCUAGACUGAAGCACAACUCAGUAAUAGGAGUUGUCUAGCUCAUUUUGGACUCUACUUCAUAAAGCUCAUCUUCGAUUUAGUAAACCUAUGAGGACUUUGAAAUGUUUGUCCUGUCAUACUUAUUUUUGCGACUUUUUUUUAAUUCUUAUUCAUUUAUUUGUUUAUUUUUAAAUGCAGUUAACCUCAGUGGAGCUGUAAUUUUUACUGCAACUGUUUUGUUAUUAAGUGUUUGGCUAACCUUAACUCUAUGAAGUACAUGAUAUUUGUCUUUCUGCUUAUCAUGGUUGAAGCUGCAGUAGCUGUGGAUGUGAUUCUAAAUCGCAACUGGGAGGAGGUAAAACUACCCUGUUCAGCAUUUUACGCUUAAUUAUAUGGGAAAAAAUUCACUUUCCUGAAAAAGAAAAAAAAACACUGAUAGUUGAAUUGGAACAGGGCUAAGUCAUAUUCAUUUGCACUGACUGCAUGCCAGGACUUUCCAGAUGACCCAACAGGGAAUUUUAACGAGUUCAAAGAUUUUGUGAGAGAAAAUUUUGAAACGUGCAAAUGGGUUGGCGUGGUUGUAGUUGCUGUGCAGGUUCUUCUCUCUCUCUCUCUCUCUCUCUCUCUCUCAUACACACACAAAAGCAGGCACAUUCUCCCAUCCCCCAACUCACAUUCUUACACAAAAGAGGCAUGCAUUUAGAAGCAUUCAUUUUAUGUUUUUUUUUUAAAAUUUAGUCAAUUUUUUACAAUCACUGAUGGAAUAAUGCAUCACUUCUUAAGCAACACACAUAUCCUCAUUAAUUAGUUCGAGCAUUUACAUUUUUCAUAUGCUGAUUUUUUUUUAUUUCCUAUUUCCUGUGUGUGCUUGUUUACUACUUACCAAAAGGAAUGAGUUUGUGCUUCUUAAUUUUUUAAACCACCGUCUUUGUGGUAUGUAUUGAAUGGUGUUCAUUUUUUACAUUUGCCCAUUAUAUGUUUGCAUUUCUAUCUGACUGCCGAGGUGAAUAAAAUACUUUGCAAUUUGAAUAUUUGUUAGUUGGCAUUAGCAUUUCAAAUGUGAGUUGGAUGUUGAAGCUUGUUUGCAAGAUAAAGAAAGAAAUGGAAAGAACUACCACAUGGUUGUUCAGUUGGCCUAUUGGUCAUGUUUUAUGUGCAGGGUGUAAGUAUGCUACUGGCAAUGAUUCUAAAAGCCUUAGGACCAUAUCCUGAGAGAUACUAUGAGAGUGAUGAUGAUUAUAGUCCAGAUAGAGUCCCUCUCUUGAAGCAUUAUGCCCCUCCGCCUUCAUACGUUGUUGCUGACACACUUCAUCCAUCAAGGAAUGAUUCUUGGAAUGUCAGGAUCAACAGUAAGGUGGGUUUGCAAUACUUUCUUGAUUAUUUUUGAAGAAGUGUCAAUUUUUAUUGGCAUGAUGGCAUUUUGAUGUACCCAUCUGGCAAGCAUGUUUCAUCAUGGUUUGUCUGUCUUUUGGUGUUCUGUCUGGUUUGAUAUCUCAAUUGUUUGCAACAUAUUACUGUGAGAUUUGACAUUUGACUGUGUUUUCACAUUUUGUUUCUCGCAUUUCUUUGAGUCUGCAUGAGUAUAAUUUUAGCCAAUGUGUUUGCUUUAUGAGAAAAUUGCUUAAGCAUGUUUUUUCUAUUGCUAGUUGUCUCUUUUUUCCUUUCUUCCACUCUGCCUCCCUUUCCCUCUUUUGAAUCCAUACAGCUUCUGGGAAGAACUUGAUACUCAGAGUCAAAGUGCACCUGCAGCUUAUCUGCCUGCUUCUCCUUCUAUCCUUUUUGUUUUCUCUUUCAUUCUUUCAUGUCCUGGUUUAGUUCCUUUAGAAGUUUCAGGAAGUUUUUCAAUUUAAUAAGAUUGGCCAAGGAGGCCCCUUGGCCUAGAGGCUAAGGUUGAGGCCCUGGAAUUAGAGGUCUUGGGUUCAAAUCCCCCCCCUGCUCCAUCCCUGCGUCUUAAGUCCCAUCCCUCCUUGCUGGAAAAAAAAUUUUAAAAAAACUUAAUAACAUUGAUAAAUUUGUAUUCCAGAAAUUUUUAGGGUGACUAUGCUGUCUCAUGGUUGCACUUCUGUACUGAGUGUUCUUCUGUGAUUUUGUACUGUCCUUGCAAAUUACUUGCACAUAUUGCUCCCUCCAAAAAAAAUACCUUCUAGUAUACAUUAUAUGUAUAUGGAUCAUGAUAUUAACUUCGAAUCAAUAUAGUUGACUUGCGGAUUCUAUUUUGUUUUGAUUAAUUAUGACAACUUGGCAUGACUAGUCCAACGAUUUCAUUUCGUCUGAACCAAAUACCUCCCAUCUUCAACUUCACGAGAAACUUGGAAUCAGCAAGACAAUUAACUUUCCCUCUUAAUUACCGAGUCCAAAAACCAAAAUGCAGUAAUGUCUCCAGUCAUUUAAUAAGUUUCAAUCAAUUAGUAGUAUUAAAAAGUAUAAAGUAAACAAUUUUUUUUAGCUAAUCUAUUUAAAUGUACAAUUUAUUAUCUAAAAUUCACAAUACAAGUAAUAUAAAAUAUUAUUCUAUUUAUGAUGUGUUUUCAAGGAACUUAAGAAGUGAGUGUGUGUGAAAAUACAUUUAUGUAUGUGAAAUGUGUUUAUAUGUGUGAAAAAAAUCUUUUUUUUUGUAUGUUAAAAUGUAUGUGAAAAAAGUUUAUGUAUUAAAAUGUAUUAAUUAAUAUGUUAGGUCAUAUUUGAGUCAUGGGUUUGAGAUAACCCAAUAUGACCCAACCCAAAAUCAACCCAAUCUAAAGUUGGGUGGGUUGGGUAUAACCCAUUUAAGUGAGAACCCAAUAUUAAUCCGCCCAACCUGCCCAAUUGCCAGGUAUACAUAUUUCUUAUACUUUCAGUGGAGAUUUAAGAUGGAGGCACUGGGGGCACGGGCCCCACUAUCCCUUUAAACUUCUAUAGUAUCCAUAAAAUUUUGAUAUAAUUUCAAGUAUGUCUUCAAAAUUUUCUUAUGAAAGGAGUGAAAGAAUUAAGUAAUCCUCUAAGUUGGUUCAUGAACUAAUAUUCUAAAAGAAUAUGCGGGCCACAAAAUUUCAUUUGAAAUAAACUAAAAAAAGAUUUUUCAUUUCAACUUGUUGGUGAAUAUUUUUUUUGCUUAAAAAACUAAAAAGAGAGUAGGUAAAAAAUUUUAAUGUUGUUUUUGCCCCCACUGAGAAUUUUUUCUGGCUCCACCGCUGUAUACUUUGCACAACUUCAAACAUGUUUGUAUAGGCAUGCCUAGAUUAAUAUUAGUUUUUGUAAUGUGUACAGGGCAUCGAUCUCAAAUCAUCCCACAAGGGGAUUCAUUAUUAAGUCCAUAGUUACUUGGCACAAAUCUUGACAUGUUCUGUCAUUGAGCAAAUGUGCAAGGCUGAAUCCAUCAAAGUAGUAGAACUUAUGAUGUUAAAAGAACUGACGAUUGUCAGAUCAUAAGUAUCACCAUCAGGAAUAAAUGAUAAUCAAAAACCAUCAUGACAAUGAUAUAUUGGACCUCUCAAGUUGCAGAAGCUUUGAACUUCAAAACAUGCAAUUCCUAUACAAUCAAGCUUUCCUUGUAGAUUAGGUUGGUGCUAAAUCAGCAAGAACAGAAUAAUUUGCAGAUUGUACGCAACAUGACACAUGAUACAAGUUCAUAAUUCACGGUCAGUAUUGAUGGUUUCCAUUCAAAGAAGUACAACGUUUUGUUUUUCUUCCAAAAAGACGAAGCCAUGCAAAAAGUAGAACAAAUAGGUUUUAGGUCAGUAAAACGUGCGACCAUGCACAAGACAUUAUUCAUGGAUAUCUGCUUUGUUAAUUAGGUAAGGAUUAUUCCAAUUGUUAGUUGGUCAAAAGGGAUUGUAUGAAUUUGGAAGUUGGAACUCCUUUGCCUGAUUAGCAUGCUGUUUCUUUGACCACAAACUUGAGGCUCAAGAGAACAUCUUGUAACAAAGAGACUGUUGUCUUGGUUCACUACUGCUUGAUUUUUAGGCUAAAUUGAGUCCUGAAGUUCUUAAAUACACAGUAAUAUAUUUAUAUAUAUAACAGUAAUAUAUAUAAUUAAUUUCUUUCCCAUGCAAAAAGUUUGUAUUGCAUUCAAUAGUAUAAUCAGAAAUUACAACACAAAUUUUAAAAAUCUAUAAAUAUUCAGUUGACAGAUAAACUUUUUUUUUUUUACUCGGGAUGCAAAAAGAGUUUGGGAAUGAAAAAAAUAAACUUUUUCAUCGCGCUAAGCUAAUGAAAUUGAAUUAGUGGCAUUAGGUAAUAGGCUAAAAUUAAGAUAUUAAUUAAUGAAAAAAAGAGUGAAAUUUCAAAGCGUUAAGAAAAAAAAACAUGUGACCAAACUCAAUAAUAGGAGCAAGGAAAAAAGAGAAAUAGUUGUAGAAAAAUAGAAAAAAAUGUGACUAAUUAUAAAUUUCCCUAAUCACGGAUAAAAAGACAAUCUUAUGAUUGAAAAAGAGAAUUAAAACCACGGGUUGAUUGAUUGAUUGAUUGACUAAUUGAUUAAAUAAGACGAAAGGUAUAAUUAGCACAAACAUAUAAAUAGUAAAAUGACUAUAAAUUAAGGUAAGUAAUUGAUACAAAUACAUAUAAGGUAGGUAAUUGAUAAUUGAUUGAAAUUUACUAUGAAUAAUGGAGUGAAAAAGAACUGUAAAUUAAUUGUUACAACAAAAAAAAAGAAUGAAAUCCAUCAAAAAAAUACAUAAACAAAAACAAAAUUUUUUUUAUCACAUGACAAAAAGAUAGGACCUCCACUUGAUAUGAUAUAGACAAGUACAACUUGAUAACCUAACAUACAAGAAAUUGAACAUUAUAUGCGUGUGCCGGCACGUGCACGCUAGAAACUUACAUAAACAUAAAUUAUGGCUGUAUUGGUCCUUACUCUUUUCAUAAUCCGAUCAGAUACUCUUUCGGUUUGCAAUUGAGAUUGCUAGUGGUGUCCAAUCUCUCAUAUUUCAGUGGGAGUGCUUCCAGGGAUCGACAAUGACCUUCAGCAUUAUCCCAAAUGGUAAAUGCAGAAGAAGUUUAUAUAUUUGUUGAAGGAAAUGUCCGAGGACACUGCGCUUUCUCUUGUCCUAUGAUUCAUGAAUGAUGUCCACAACUUUGUCAUAGUGACUGGCCUCCGUCCUGUUCAUUUCUAGUACGACAUUGAUUUGAGUCCAUGUGUUUCCCGAUUUCAACAAGACAUCCCAACGAACGUGAUAUCAGUCAACUUUACUCUCGCUAAGGUCAAGAAUUACCCAGCUUACCUGUUGCAUGGUGUGUGAAAAUGAACAUUCGGUUGAUUUGGUAUUGCAUCCAACUUGUACAGAAGAAGUGAACAAAAGUAGGUUCACAAGUUGUCUAGAUUGGUAAUGACAAGUCAUUCCUCAGUUGAUUAGGUAUGGUAUCUAACUUAUAUAGAAGUUGUCAACACAAGUUAGUUCAUAGGUUAGAUUCAAUUGAUAAGAACAGGUAAUGUGUUCGAAUUUCGUUAUCGAUAUGUUUCAAACCUUGCUAUCAAUGUAAAAAUUAUAUUAGUGGACAAUUUGCAGAAGUUUUUAUAAGCAACCAAUGUUUGCAGGAUUAUGUUAACAGGCGAUCAGUAAGAAUUCCUAAAUGAUUGUGGUUUGGAGGACAUUUCUUGAUCUGCGGUGAUGACCAGAGUCCCAUUGGUCGUCAUUUCGGGUCGAAUUCAAGUCAUUCGAUCUCAUAUUGGGUGAUGAAACUAGAGAUGGAGAGAGUACCAGGAAUUUGACGAUGAAUUGACAUAUAACGUCUUCAAAACUAGUACCAAAAUGCAAUCAUUUUGUAAUCGGAUAAAAUAUGGAAAAUUUGUAUUAUAUAUUACAUGAUAUCAUCAUCUUUGAUGAUGUGUGAACAACCAAUUGGUACAAAUCCUUCACAUAAUAGACUCCUUCGCACCAAUUGAGGAACAGCCAAUUACUACGCUGCGACAUACCAUAAGCGCGCCUAUGUUGUUGAAAUUCCUCUUUCUUUCUUUUUUUGGAGGGAUAUGUUGUUUAAAUUCUUAAGCAGCAUUUUCAAGAAAAGCACGUUUUUUUUUCUUAUAAUAGCGCCAUAAUGAGAGAACAAAUGUAAAGUAUAAACGGUACCUAUGUAUUAACUGUUAAGCAGAAACAAGUAAACGCUUUCGGCCUUUGCCAUCCAAUUUAGCACUUGCCACAAAUAUAAGAGGCAUUGCUUUUGAGCUGAUUAUUCCAUAACUAAACACAACUACGCACAUAAUUAGAGUAUAAUUGUGUUGUGCUUACGCCAAGCAAACAGACAUGGUGGUAUGAUAGUAUCCCAUGAAAUCUUUAACAAAAUUGACACCUUAAUUAAUAUUUAUGACUAACUUAUGAGUCGCAACAGAUCUUCUGUCUCACUUCUUAUUCCACUCUCUGUCCACAUUUUAUUAUACCACAUUUUAUUAUAUUGCUAUUAUUGUUUCAUAAACAUCCUAUUUUAAUUUUUUUUUGUUACUUAAAUUGAUAACUACAAAAAAUAAAAAAUUACAAUAGUCUAAAAAAAUAUAUAAUAGGAAAUUAAUUCCUCAUGCUGCUUCGUACCCAAAAACGAAAAAGAGUAAUGCUGCUAAUUAGUCGACGCCCUUAUUUUCUUUCUUUUUCUCCUUUCCCAUCACAAAUAAGAAGCCAAAAAAAGAAAAUACCUAAAGAAAAAGUCUUUUAUCUCAGGUAUGCUCAAUUUUAUUUUAACGUGUUACGUGAAAAGCCGUCAACGUGGUAAUGAAUUAACAGUAACGGCGUUUAGAUCUCAGCGCGGUAAAAAGUUCUGGCGCUAAGACUUGGCGCCAAAAUCUUCCGCCAUUACUCAAAAAACGUAUUUUCCAGUGCUAUAAUACAACCGAGCCCCAACAAAACACGCACCAAUUCACAUAACGUUUCCUAGAUCUCGCAAUGGUGGUGGCUCUUGGUCCCGGAAAAUUCUACGGCAGCAGCCUCCCAAGGCCAAGGUUCUACACAGACGUGAAACUGAACGACGAGAGGGUAGAUCCACCGGUUCCAGUCAUGGAUCCGCUAAUGUCGUGGGCUCAGGAGGCUCAUUGGUCGAUGGGUGGUCUGAGUUUCACGCGCCACCGCCUCCAAGGCAGGAUUGAAGGGAACGUUAAGAAGCUCCGGGCUGAAAGAGAGAAGCUUUUUAAGAAAGCCCAGAAGGAGAAGGGGAGCGGUAGUCCGGUGACGCCGCCGGCUCCGGUGGCGGUGAAGCGGAGGAGGAGGAUGUUGAUGAGGAGGAGGAAGAGGAGGAGGAGGUGGUGGUGGAGGAGAAGAGGAGGGAACUUAGGAAGACGGCUAGGAAGUUGGGGGAUGAUUUUGACAGGGUGGCUAAUGAGAAAAAGAGGAGUCCGGCUAGGGCUGGUGGUGGUGAGGCGGCAGGGAGAAAGAGAGGCCGGGUUGGCGAGGAGGAAGAAGGGGUCGGGAUGAAAUUAAAGGAAAGUUGAAGGGUAAGAAGGAAAUUGGAAAAAAGAAGGGAGAGAAGAACAUGGCUGUCGCUGCUAAAGGGACUAGAACUUCCCUAGGUUAGCAAAGAGAGGAUGAAUUUGACAAUCAAUGGCGUAUUCUGCUGUUAAUUUUAGGCUUAUAGCUACCUAUAUACUUAAGAAGAGAGUUAUGGUGUAAUCUUGCACUAAUCUUUUUCUGCUUUUAAUUUUUCUUCUCUUGUUCUGGCCUUCUAAUUUGUUGUGUAUAUUCUUCUUGAUUAUUAGAAAGUGAAAGAUCCGGGGUUUUGGCUGUUCUAAAACCUCUUAGCAUUUUCAUGAAAAUUUGCUUAUGAAUGUACUUUUGGGGCAGAAACCAGAUUUCAAGCAACGCUGUAAGUAUACUCAAACCCUUGUUUAUAGAGCUUUGCCAAAGAUCAAUUUCAUUUUCUCAAGUAACAAAGCAUCCAUUUGACAAGUGACUUGAUUGAUGACUUGAGACUGCAAUGACACUAAGGAUAAAAAGACUAGUAAUUUCUAAACUGAACCGAACAUAAUAAUACUACCAUGGAUUGGUGAAAAUGCCAAUUAAUUUGAGGUUAUUAACAUAAUACUAUAUAUUGCUAGUGAUAAUAUGCUAAUUAAUUUGAGAUUAAACGUACGCGAUUAGCAACUCUUACCAACCCCCCCCCCCCUUCUCUCCCACACAUAAAAAAAUACUACAUGAGAUCAAAGUCAUAACGCAAAUAAUUGAGGAAAAUAAAAGGAGUCUUGGGCUUCUUUUUAGACUGGAUUUGGUGGGUGCGCCAGGCCGAAGGCAAUAAGGCGAUAAGCUGCUGAAAUGGGUUCUUUCCCCUAGAAAUAUCGUAACAGACACUACACUUGAUCUUAGCCGAAAACCAGAGAGGUACGCUCUUCAAGGCCCCAAAAAGAUCCUUUUAUAGCAAGGCACGCACUUGGAUAGAUCUAAGAUUCUUUUAUGAUAAGAUAAACAUUAAGGUAGACUAGCUCUAUGUAAAUGGGAUAUGGGGCAGGGACGACAUAAAUUUAGACGACAUGUUUACAAAAUCAGAUUUACCCAAACUUUUGCCUUGCAGUAUGUUUCUGCAGUCCAUAAGAGGAACCAUGUGGGAAAAAGCACAAGGCAGCAUGCCAACUCCAUAACCCUCCUAGCAUAGGGAGGUUUGUGAUUCGGGUUCUUUGCAUUCAUCUUUGAGUGUCAUGUUCAGACCAUAAAACCAAUUAACAACUUAGGCCCGUAUGGAUUAGGUAUUUUUGAAAGUGUUGUUUAAAAUUUUAUUAUAACGAUAUAUGUAAAAAAAUUACGAUAGAUGAUUAAACAUUUUUAGGGUAUAUUUUUUAGAAUGUAUUUUGAGAUAUUUUUAAAAUUUAAGAAGGAGAGAUUGCACAAGAGGAGGGGAGAGAAAGAGGAAGGAGGAGGAAGGGAAAGGAAAUGGAGGAGAGAAGAGGAGGGAGAGGGCGGUGGCGGUGGAGGUGGAGGAUGGAAGCGGUCAUGGUGCUAGGUGGCGGCGUGCGGUGAUGAUAGAUAGUGGAUCGAAAAAGAUGGAUGUGGUUGAUUUAUUUUAUUUUUUUUAGUUUAUAUUUGAGAUUUGUAUGAGUUAUGUGCUUUUAGGAGUGUUUUGAGAGUUUGUUACUUUAACAUUAUAUUUGAAAAAUUUGUCGGUGAAAAAUGGUAAAUCCAUGCAACCCUUAAUUACAGCUUAAAAAGUGCAUACCACUUGUUAAGGGAUUGGAUUUUCAUUUGCUUUGAUAUAAACCAUGAAUAGGUUUUCCUAACCUAUCUCACUAUGUGAACCUUGAAUUUGGACAGUUUCCUAAAAUUAUACUUUUGUGAAAAAAUUAACACCUAAGACCCUCUUAACAAUUGCAUCGGAUGAUAAUGAUAUUCAUGAUACAUCAAUAUGAAGAAAAUCAAUAGAAGCUUAUAUUUGUUUCCUUUUUCACUUUUAUACUAAAGGACAAAUUUCAUUCAAAUACCAUAAAAUUUACAUCACUUAUUCACUGUAACAAAGAUCCAGCUUUGGUAUCUAGAUUAUGGUCACCCGAGACAAGCUGCAUAUUACUUUAGCAAAAGGAAUUACAACAGCAAGGAAAUAACUUUAUCAUAAUGUCAUGUCUCAUGAAGCACUGGCCUAACAGCAGACUGGCCAUUGGAUUCUAAGACACCUGUAAGUUCUGCAUAUCUGCUAGCAAUUGGGUUCAGUUUAUUACAAAUAAUUCCUUGUGAAUUGUGCCCAUCUUUUGGAAUAUAAGCAAAGCACUGCUAAAGAACAUGCUUUUGAUGUAAGAAUGAGUGAUGCUGAGUUCUAGUUGGUCCAAGAUUCCUACUUGUUAGUCUUUUCCUUUUUUUUUUCCCUAAUGCAGGGGGUAUCCAUUUCCUGCGAUGAUGCAGAGCCCGUCCCAAAGAUGCAUUACACCAUAAUAGGAAUUGAAACGUGACCUCUGGAUAAGGACCCAAUAAUACUAACGGCCUGGGGGCUUCUACAUGUUAAUCAUGAAAGCAAAUGUUCUUGGUCAAGAAUUGAAACAUUUUUUUGACUUUUUCUGUCAAUUUUCGUUUAUAUUUCUUCAUAAGAUAGAUUAGAAAAUGGUUUGUAAAGUUCAAAAUAUUGAGUAACAUCAAAAAAAAAAAAAACCAUUUGAUUGAUAAAAUAAAGACAAAAUUGUACUUAUUAAGAUACAGUGAGUCUUCAAGAAAGAGAGCAAGCUAAUUCUCAAAACCAGUCAAAUCACUACCCAAACGAAAAAGGGGGAAUUUUUUCUUCUUCUUUUUUCCCAAAAACUGGUGAUUCAUAAUAAUUUUCCCAACCAAAAAGAAACAGCUAAAGAAACUUCAAUUUUAUCUGUCAAAAAAGGGGAAAAAAAAAAGAGCGAGUAGUUUACAAUGACCAUUGACCAAUAGUGCAACCGACAAUAAACCCGCCAAUGUGAAUGCACGCUUACCAAUGACAAAUCGCCAUCUGUCAGGCUGUCACCAUUCUUCAUCCUUCUCCGCCAGCACUAUGAUCCUUGGGUUAGGGUUUCCACAAUGGUACCAUUCCUCAAUGAUUUUGUCUCUCCUUUAACAUCGAAAUUCUCAAUAGAUUUGGGGUUUAUCUCAAAUUGCAGAUAUCCCCAAAUGGGUCUCUCUUAAAAUCCCCAAUUUCGGUGCCAUUGUUUGGGAAUUAGCAACAAACCUCAAAACCAUGACCUAGGGUUUUGUAUUCCAGUUCCCAGUUGUGGAUCAUCUUGCACACAUUGAUAUCUUAUUUUCUUCAAUUCCUCCUUUUAUUUAAUAAUUGUUGUAUAAAUAGCCAUAUUUUUCUUCGUUUUACGUAUCAAAUUCUCAAACAUUCAGGUAGGCUGGUAAUAAUAUAUGAUCCUGAACCCCCAUUUGCAUUCUCCUUAAUUGGAGUUUUACCAAGAUUGAUUUUUGGGCUUCACUUUUUUCUUUUUCUUUUGUAGAAUAUUACAGCUUUAACUUGAUUGAAGACUUGAGGUUUGAGCUGGAAAUAUAGUGGAAACUUGGGUUGAAAGAUCGUGGGGUGGUAAUUUGGCAAAUGGCAUCAUCCGGAUUCUUUAUUAUAUGCACUUUACAUUCAGUAAUUGCUAUAACUUGCGGUGCAUUGAUAAUGUUCUAUCUCAAUGAAAUAUCUGCUUUUGGGCACGGUAUUGAGACAGCUAAAAAGAUGCUGGGAUCAACUCCACAUGAUCAGUUGUUAAUACAGAUAUCCAAUUCAUUUGCCGGGUUGCUUUUGUUUGUGAUUGGAUUUUUAUUGUUAAUGGUGGCUUUUGUCAAGGACAGGGACUUUCAGAGCUUUUUCGCUAAGGGGCUUAUUCUCAUUCAUGUCUUGGUAGCACUCUGGAGAGUUUAUUUUGAGAGAAAGCUUGAGGAUUUAGCUCAUGAUUGGCCAAGGCAGCUGGUUGGUGACUUUGCUCUGGCACUCUCGUGGGUGUUCUUUCUUGUAUACUCAUGGAGAGAAAAGUAUGAUUAGACGAGUUGAGAUGAACAAUUAUGUUCCUGAUUGGCCGAAUCACAAGAUUUGCUUGGUAGCAGGUCAACCAUUCUGAAAAGAUUUCUAUUGCGUUGCAGAGUAGCAUUAUGGUGCUUAAUGGAUCACAGCAUACCACCUUUCUUAAAAUGCCUGUUUUAUUUGCUAAAUAAAAUGGUGGUUGAAUUUUGAAGGGGAGUUUGUUGUCAGCAUGAACCUUUGGUUAGCCUGUAAUUUAUCUCUGAUGGAACCGAUGUUGCUAGUUUGAUUUUCUUUACUGUGUCUGAUUUUUCAGAAAUGUACUUAACCAUAGCAUUUGGAAUAAAUAGAAUAGAAAUUGAUAUAUGAAGCUUUUAUGUUAUUUUAUGACUUCCAAAAACUAUUCUGGUUUUCUAUAUUGAUAUAUCGGACUGUUAGAAAUCAUAAAAUCCAGGGAAAAUUAGUUUGGUCUUGGUAAAGAGAUAGAAAUAUUUUUCUGGAUGGUUUGAUUUGUCCCUACCAUUUGAUAAUCUGGAUACUAUUUUGUGAUCUGGUCGUCAUUCAAACUAAUAUUGCUAUUUUAAGGAGUUGAAUUUUGGUCAUGGUGAUUGAAACAUCUGAUUGAACAAAUUCAUGUCAUGUUGAUUGAAAUAUCUGAUUGAAAGAAUUACUUUGCAACAAACAAGGAUGUAUCACAAAGCUAUCCUGACAGUGCAAUUUUCUGCCUAGAAAGCAGAUUAUGUAGCUACUCUGUCCACUAUGAGCCUCUCUAUCAUCAACUUGAUUUUCACUAGAUCUCAACUGUUGUGCCUCUAUAGCUGCAUAACUUUGUAGCGACCAUCAUGUGUGCAGCAGUGCACGCUAGAAGCUAGGACUUGGUUGAGCUUCAGUAGUAAGGGAUGGAGACCAUGCUAUAUAUGGUUGCUGGCUUUCUCAAACAUAAUCUUAGUUUGUCUGCUCCUGUCAAGACAUUGAGAUGUUUGGCAGUAGCAAGCAUGAUAAACCAAAUCUCUUUGCCAGAAGCGCUGUCCAUUUUGAUGUCUGACUUCUGCUUGGAUCCGAAUCUGAAAUCCAAUCAAGUUCAGAAAGCAAUUCGAUUUGGGAAUAAUUGGAAAUAUGAAUCUGAAAUCCACGUCUGUUUAGUGGAAUUGCUAUGGUGAACAUGGAUUCUCUGUGUUGUGCCUAGAUGAUUGCUUAGUGCUCCACAGAGAGGAGGAAUAGUCAUUAGUAGUUACUAGUGUAUUCAUCUAAACGGAUGAGAAAGUUGAACUGUGUGACAAGCCUAUCAUAUUUUCAGAAAAGUCUUGGCUCUAAUUGCAUGCUUUGAGUAUGUAUAAGAACUCCUGCCUUAGAAUAUAGUUUGAUGUGCCACCUUUAUGCAAAAUCUCGUCCAAUAAUUGCUGCUAAUUCUUGAAACUUCUGUUCUUGAGGAUGUUAGCAAGUUAGCAUUGUUGUCAAAUGGUAACACCUUUUUGGCUCUCAUUCUCAAGGAUAAAUUUGAAUAUACACCGCCACAGGUGUGAAUUGAGGUCAGUUCUUGAGGCAGAUUGGGGGGAUGAUGAUAUGCUAAACAUUGUGCAUUAAUAACUUCCUCUUCGUUGUGGUAUCUAUGUGUGUCAGAAGUAGCCUGAUGUUGUGUUCAUUUCUGUUUUCGCUUUUGAGUUCUUUGCUCUUCAUAACAAUGACAAUUCAUUCUAGAAUCUAUAGAUGAAGUUUCAGCGAGCAUUAUUAUUAGCACAUUAUUUGGCAGUCUUGUUUUGCCUGAAAUGAACGUAGAAGUCAAAAAUAUUGGGGCCACCGAUUUGUUGUAGAGCCCAAAAGUCUCCGCUGAUUGCAGAGUCUUGAUUUCGGGUGGACAAAACAACCAAGUUUUCUUGUGUGAUUUGGUAAAUUGGUAAAGGGGUGCAGAUCCAAUUGUGGGUCAUGAUUGAGGGUUGGAACCAGCUCUUGCCUCAGGAGUCACUAAGGCAACUCCCCAUCUUCGUUCUAUGUAAGAUGAGACUGCAAAAAGGUAGAGGUGGCAAUUUGUCCCAAGUCCCAAUGGGUUACCCAUGCCCAAGGGGACUUUGGGCGGGAUGGGUAUUGGAUUUUGAUAUUGGGUUUAAAAUGGGACAAAUCCCAAUUGUACCCAUUAAUUGAUGGGAAUACUUGGGAAAUACUUGGGUACCCAUUGGGCUCAAAUAACAAGGGCUCUGUUUGGUUUAGCUAUUUUUAGGGGGUAUUUUUGAAAUAUUUUAUUAUAGCAGUGUAUAUGAAAAAUUUUUACUAUAAAAUUUUUUUGAAAUAUUUGAUAUACUAAUAUGGAUGGGAUGUUUUUUGAGUUAUUGUAUAUUACUGUAACAUUGUAUUUGAAAAACUUAUUUUUUGAAAAAAUAGCCAAUCCAAACGGAGUCUUAGAUUAAAAAAUUAUCUUUAACAAUUUUUAUAGUCAUACUAGAGAAUAUAAUCUAGUAGUUUUUCUAGUCAUUAUCCACAAGAAUUUUCAACAUUUCAGUCAAUUUAGACCUGUCAUCUUUGGACAAUGAUGAGGAUAAAUAUUCAACACCUUAAGUACCUUGGUCAUCUUGAUAUAUGUUGGAAUAUGACUGUAUUUCUAUUUUUUCCUUUAUUUGUUAAUCCAAUUUUUUAUGGGAAUCCUGAGUAUAAAGCACUUACAUGUUUAUUUAAUAAAACAAAAAAAAAUUUAAUAAAUCAAAAAUAUUAAAAUUAUAUAAAAAUAAAAAUGAAUUAAAGGAAAAAAAUAUGUAGAAAAUAGAUUUGGGUAUUGGGCGGGAUCAAUCUAAACCCAUCCCAAAGUGAUCCCGCCCAAGUUAGUCCCAAAACACAUAUGGGUAAGGUUGGGCCCAAACCCAUAUGACUCGGUUCCAUCACAAACCCAAGCAAAUCCCGCCCAUCCGCCCAUUUUGCCACCUCUACAAAAAGGGUUAUCAAUUAUAUGAAGCGGUAGAGAUCACAAAUGACGUGGUAAAGAUCAUUAAUUCUAAUUGUUGAUAUUUAUUGGGCUCUACUUACUCUUUAAAAAGUGGAUCAACUACAACAGUACAUCAAGCCCUGAUUUCUUCCAUAGAAAAGAAAAGAAAAGAAAAGAAAAGGCACCUUUUCAGCUUUAUCCAUGGAUUUCAUUAGUGGUUCCGCAUAUCAUAUGCAUUUGACCGAAGAGAUCAUGGAACCAUAAAUUGCUCACCCCAAGUUUGUGACCAAAAUCUCUUGAAUGUGAGGCCUAUACAUGUGGAGGAAGAUCAAAAGCUGUUGAACGUUUGGCUAAAUUUGAAGUUGUUUUCUUCUUUUAAGAGAAGCAUUUACCACUUCUUUGAAUACAUUUGUGCCCUGUUUCAGUAAUUUUACUGACUUUCACUACAUUUUGUCUAUCACCAAUCAAUCAUUUACCAGUUCGUUGAAGGACAGCAUUAAUGCCGCUCGGCGUGGACCACCAAGAGUAGAUAUCCCUCUUUCUUUUAAGAAGGACAAGAGUAGCAAUACUAAGUCCCAGCACCAAGGAAAAAGAGAAUACAUUUCCUAGAAAGAGUAAAAGUCACACCAGAUUCCAUGACCAUUCCAGUCCUGAACUUGCGUGUUAGAUGGAUCAUACAUGUGGUUUCUUCGCAUUCCUAACCUAAGCAGGACGGCAACAAUAUACUCUUGACAGAACUUUGCUGAAGAAAAAAAUUUCAAGUCUCCAACUGUCGAUCCUGAGAAAGGAAGAAAUGAAUUUUCAAUGACAUGAAUUUAUUGAUAGGACCCUUUCAGUGAAGUAACACUUCUAUAUAUUUUCAAAAGAGUAAACUUUCCAACCGGCUCCUGAACUAUUCAAUUUGUGCGGCUUGGUCUCUCAACUAUAAAUUGUCGCAAAAUAGCCUCUGAACAAAAGAAAAACUUAAUUUAAGGAUUUUCGUCAAUUUUGGAUGUCAAAUGUAAUGGAAUUAGGGGCAAAACCAACCAAACAGAAAAACCAACGUAUUAUUUAAUUAAAACCAUUUAUGUUAAGUCAACUAAUAACACCGCGUUUAAUUUUCUUUCUUUUUUUCAUCUUCCAUCUUCUCUAACCCUAAUUUGAUGAAAAAAUCAGUCAACGGGGUCUUUUGGACUGUUUUCAUGGGUUGAUUUUUUUUGCUUGUUGGUUUUGUCCCUAAUUCAGUCACCUUUAAAGACAAAAAUUGACGAAAGUUCUUAAACUAAAUUUUUUUGUUCAAGGAUUUUUUUGUGAUAAUUUAUAAUUGAGGGUUAAAACCGUAUAAAGGCAAUAAUUCAGAGGCUGUCCGGAAAGUUUCCUCUUUCCAUAAUAAUUUAGCAAAUGCACAUUUCCUACUUUGCCACACAAGUGAUCGGUUCUAUAAGGUCACUAGGCAUGUAGGCAAUUCUAAGUUUGGUCAAUUUUAAUGGCACUUUCUUUGGCCUUUUAAAUUUUAUCAUGUUAAUUAUACAAAAAAUAUUCUACCUUCAAUUGAAUUUACAAUCACCCAUCAUUAUUGUUUUUUUUUUCCUUUUACAUGAGUACAAAAGUCAAAAAUAAAGUGUCUUCAACAAAUAAAGAAGAGUCUCUAACAUUGCUCUUCUAGUAUAACAAUUUAAGUGACAUUAUGGGUUCUUGUAAAAACAUUUGAUUACAGUCAUACUAACAAACAAGCUAGAUAAAAAUCAGAUGGAGGGUUGGGUUGGGUAAUAAAAGGGGAGAGAAAUUGUAAGUUGGAUUAGAUCACAUCGAGGAGGGGAGAAAAAGUGUAAAUGAGACGGAUUCGAAACCUCCUGCUUACAAAAAAAAACAAAAAGAUGAAAAUCAAUGCAAGAGCCAAUCCAAACUUAUUCGAGAUUGGAUAAAUUAAGAAUAGAUCAAUGUUAGACAUGAAAGUUUUAAAGUCAAAAAAAACCUAGACUGAUUGAAGACAUCAAUUGUUUAAUGUUUUUCUAUCACUAUUUGAUCAAACCGGCCAAAUGGAGCACCGACCAGAAAAAUACAUUUGAUCUUUUUGGUCCAUGGAUAAACACUUACCUGAACCAAGGCCCGUGAACCUAAUUUGGGUUUAUCUCACUAUUACUCCUUAAUUUCCUUAAUAUAAUUAUUAUAACUAUUAAUUUCUAAAACUAAUUUAAUAUCUAUAGAACCACAAUAUUAAGACUAUACAUGACCCAAUAACAAUUCAUUAAAAAGUAUAUAAACCAAGAAUUUUUCAAUAAUAAUAAUGUAUUCCAAUUAAUUCAAAGUACAUAAAAAAUAUUAAUAAAAUAUUGUCAAAAGUCAAUACAUUUUCAAAUGUUCUCAAUUUACUCGUACGAUUUGUCAUUCUGAAUCUUUUGAUAUAAUUUUGUAUAUUUAAUAUUUCUUAUAUACAUAUGCAGACUAAAUGGUCGGGUUAAUAUUAGGUUUGAGUUUAAUAGGUCCAAACUCAACUUACAUUUAAUUUGAACUUAAUAUUUAAAUCCAAAUUCAACUUAGUCCAUGAAAGGCUAGACUACUUUUCAAACUUUUUCCUCAGCCAAAUGGGUUGAACUUGAAUUUCUUUCUUAAAAAAAAAAAGCUUGAAUUUAUCCGACCCUAAUGACAGUAGGUCUGUCAACGGGCCAGGUCCGGGCCGAAAUUCAUUAUUCCGGACCCGGACCUGGCAUACCAAAUCGGAUCCGGAUUCGACUCGUUUACCCGACGGGUUUUCUACUCUAUGUUCCGGAUCCGGAUCCGACGGGUCUCGGAUCCGGGUCCGGGUCUACCCGAAAAAAUUAUGAAAAUUUACAAUUUCUAAUAAAAAUGAGAAAAAAUAUAUUUGUACACUAAUUUCUAACUAAUACAAAAAAAAACUAAAUAAGAAAAUAAAUCAAAUUGACUUUACUCAAAUACAUCACCCUAAUCAAAUUAUAUUGAUAAAUAUACAUAUUUUAAAUUAUUAAUCCAUUUAUAUCCGGAUCCGGAUCUAAUACGGGUCGGAAUACUAUAUUCCGUAUCCAACCCAUUUUUUGUUUGACAAAACGGAUCCGGAUCCGAAUCCGGGUAACGAAAUUAAAUCUCUACCCAUACCCGUAAUAAUUUCAUGGAUCCGGGCCGGGUCCGGAUCGUUGACAGGCCUAAAUGACAGUUCUACUUGGUCAAACGAUCAAGACAUUUACUAGUUUCCAAGUAGUUCACCCAAAUUCUUCUUCUAAUAUACUACUACUUGCUUUUUUUCUUUGAAUUCGAAUAUUGAACCGUCCCCAACAACUCAUAUCAUAUUAGUAUUUGAGGUUGGAAUGUUAGAUUCCAUUCUUGCCAGUAAGUUUGACCGCCCGAAAAGGGCAACUCACAAACUUUAAAGCAAAGAAGCAAAGAAUUACUACUAAAAUCUUUCUUUAGCUCGUGGGGUUAUUGCACUUUACUCUAUUGUAAUAUUCUCAAUUUGCUCCUUAUUUCAAGUUUGACACGUUUGAUCCAUUAGACUUCUAUACUUUUAAAUCUAGUAUUGCAUGAUAUUAAUUUUAUUCAAAUCUCAAAGAUUUUAUUCUCAGGAUCGAUUCUGUCAAUCUUGAAAUUUAAUGUAAAAAAAAAAAAAGCAGAAGCACUAUGUAUAUAGGAAACUAAAUAUGCUAGAGAAAAAUAUAUAGCGAAACAUAGGCCGCGUUUGAUAAGUGAAUUUUUUGGGUUUUGUCUAAAACUUUACUGUAAUUUACUGUAAAAUUUUUUUAAAAAAAUUUUGAAAUGUGUAAAUUUUUAAUAUUUUGAAAUGUAUAUUUUAAAAAUUUUAAAAAGUUUUUUGAGGUUACUAUAGCUAAAAUUUUUUAAAAACUUGUAGCAGACAAACUUGGCAAAAAAUUUAAAUGCCAAACAAGGCCAUAAUCAAUCAAACCGAGAUUAUAAUGAACUUAUGUGAUUAUAACGAGGUAUUUCCAAAUAUACAAAAUUAGUAACGAAGUAUUUCCAAAUAUUACAAAUAUAUAGAUUGUUUUUCUUUUUUAAAAUCCAAAUAAAUGGUAAAUAAAUUGAGCCCCAUCCCCUUUUUUGGAAACUUAGCCCCAUGUCCAAAGUUUACCACAGGCUCACAGCACACUACUAUAGUCAAAACAGCCUGCUCCUCCGCGAAUCUCUUUUUAGUGGUACAUAACAUUACCACGCGCCAAUAGGCCUGUGAAAUCACCCCUUCAACCUUUACCUAUCUAUAGUACAAUCUGCUUGCUGUACAUCAAGAAAACCAGCCCCUUUUCUCUAAAGGUACUGUUCCUUCCUGCAAGAAGAGGAAAGAGAGCAGAAACACAACUGAAAUUACCCAAAACAAAACAACAGUAAACAAAAGAAAAAAUCAUUAGCCAUCAAAAUUGAACCUUUGAAGGCCUCAGUCUUUAAGUUUUAACCAUCCAAAGCAUCCAAUCAACCAUGGCAGAACAGAUUAUAGAAGAAGAACCCACAACUUUCCCACCUUCAACUUCACCUCCCUCGCAAAAUCAAGCCCAACAAGAGUUACCAACUCCAUCGAACACCUCCAUGCUUCUCUUAAGGAUUAUGAGCAAAAGAAGAACAUGGGUCUGCCUGUUUUUUGGUGUUUACACGGUUUUGUUAUCGCUUUCUUGGAAUUUCCUUAAAUCAGUUCUUGCUUGGUAUGAAACAACUUUGAUGAACUCUUCAUCAAGUUCAGCAUCAUCAUCAGUUUAUUCAGGUUGGCCAGCUUUGUAUGCAUCAGCUCUUUUAGGUGUGGCUUUUGGAGUGCUCUCCAUGGUGACAGCCUUGGCUGUGGCUGUUCCUGCUACUUUGGUUACUUGGAUUACUGUGCUGGUUUUGCUGACUUUUUGUGGGAAGCCCAGAAGGACUUUGGUGAUGGAAGGCAAGAAAUUGACUGCUGAUAUUACUGGAUUUGUAGUGAAGGUUUUGCUCAAAGAAGGGAAUAUUGUGGCCGCACUUUGUGCUGUUCUUGGAUAUUUUGCAUUUGUUAGGAGAGGCAAAGAAAAUGCUACUGCUGGUGACUAUUAGAUCUGACUCUAAACAAUAAUUUUUGUGCAUGUUUCCUUGACGAAAUUCAGAUGGUGGUCUUAGACUAUUAGGCUGGAUUCUGCAGAAUUAAUAUUUGUGGAUUUCUGUUACUUGUUGGGUGAAAUUUUGCAGAAAAGCAACACUUUUUCCCUUUUUUUUGUUGGGGGGGGGGGUUGGGGGGAUUUCUGCUGAUGUUUUAUGCUUUGUGCUACAGAGAAUGGAAAAAAGAAGGCAGAUAUGCCAUGUAAAUUCUUCAUUGCACUUAAUUUCUUUGUUCAUCUGGUUACAGUAGUUCUUUUUAACUACAUUAGUAUUUAGAACUGGACAGAUGUCUCUUUCUGGAAGUUAUGGUAGGAGCAAGUGAUUAGGUAGUGACAUGACCAUUCAGCCUUAUCUAAUUUCUUUGACAAAUUCAUAUGAUGUUCGGUGAUUGUUGUUUAGAAUAGAUAAAUUUGGGAAUUCUUGCUCCCUUCCCCACCACACCCCACACCCCCAAAAAAAAACACCCCCCAAGCCAAAGUUUAUGAGUAAGAGAAAGCUUAUCCUAACGAUCAAAAUUGGCUCUGGAAGAUUGACUAGCUCUACAAAAUUCAAUCCUCUGAAACUCUGUAGGGUUGGGACAUGAACUAGUUUGAAGGGGUUUACACAUAUCCGUUGCUAAAUACAGGCCUAAUUUGAUUGAGCUGUACCGGAUCAGAAAAGAGAUCACAAAAGCCCUCAGGACUUAUUUGGAUUUUUUUUUUUGUUCUUUUCAAAACGCUCUAAUUGUUUACAUUACUUAAGAGGCAUUUGAAUCUGUAAUUUACCGAUUAUCAAAAUAUAUUUUAAAUAUUACAAAAUAAUUGAUGGUUUACAAAUUCAAAUCCAUCUUAUCUUAAGUAUUUAAGUAAUUGGAGGAAUCAGAAAGGAUUUCAAAUCCUUCAAUCCAAACGCAAAGUAAAAUUAGUAGGAGUAUGUCUUUUCACUGGUCAAAAUUUUAAGCAGGCCUUUUGUCUCCGGGCCCUUAAUGGACGAUGUCUUGUAGUAUUUCUUUGUUAGAUCAACUAUCCUUGUUAAAGAUGAUUCCCUUGGCCCAUUAAGUGAGCUUGCAGACUAGAUACACACAUCACAUGGCUCUUUCAGCCGAAGUGCUAAUUUGGAAAGGAGGCUACCUGACUUUGAGCCCAAUGGGCUAGAUUUGGAUAGUAAACUAAGCAAGUUAAGAAAUUGAAUCAAGUCCAGUCCAUUUUUUUCAUUUUUAGGAAGUCAAACUCAACUCUAAUUAAUUUUUUCCUAACAAAUAUCGGACACCGUGAUGUCUAGUCUAGUAUUAAAUGGGCAAAUUACAUUUUAGCCCCCUGUGGUUUUCGAAAAAACCACAUAACCCCCCAUCGUUCAAAAAGCUAUACAUAAACCCCCUGUGGUUUGGGUUGAACUGGCAAAUAGACGGAAAGCAUCCACCGUAACGAUUCGUGGGCAAAACGCGCAUGUUCUUCUGGUAGCAGUAGGAAACAUACCCAUAUUACCCCUGACCAAUUUGACGUACCCAAUAAAGCCUAGAUGGGUGCUCCUCAUCUCUUUCCAUCUUCCGAAAUACUUUGUAGCUGACUUUGCACUGAAUGUUGGUGAAGGAACCCAAGAUAGAGAACGAAGGAAAUCUGAAGGUGAGUUCUAACAUCAAGGUGCAGUCUUUUCCUUUUCCUGAAAUAUGACUUGAAUGGAUUAUUAAUUUUUUUUCAAUAAACUAUAGAUGUCAUGCUCAAGCAGUGCUGGUGGAAGUACUGAAGAUCUAAGGUACCAAUACCUAUUUUGUUCAUGUGGGAGAAAAGCAGCGGUAAAAAUUGUUGAAUCUGACAAACCUUCAAAAGGAAAGCAAAAGAAAGUAUCUCAAUUAAUUUAAGGGAUAAUUUCAGAAACCUCCCCUGAGAGUUGGACGGGUAACUAGUGUGUCAGAGAGUUGCCAUAAUCUCCUUAAACCCGCAUGCGGGUUUAAAGAGUAUUCGGAUAUUCUCAUAUGCACCUAUGCAAAUCGAACCAAUCGGAUAUCUUAUCCGUAUCCCAUUUUUUUAAAUAAAAUCUUAUAAAUUUGAAAAAAUAAAAUCAAAUUUAGAUGUAUUAGGGUUUUAAAAAUAUUAUAUAAGUGAUAAAAAUUUUAUAAAUUGUAAAAAUAAAAUCAAAUUUAAAUAAUUAAAUGUUAUAUUUGCAUAAGAAAUAAUACAAUAAUCAUAAUAAUGAUAAUACAAUAAUAUUGGUGUAAUAAAACUGCCAUUAAUUUAAAUAUUUACUUAUAAUGCCCAAAGAGCCUAAUUACCAAUUUUUUCUUCUCGCGCUCAAAUAUAACAUUAACCCGUAUGCGAGCUAACCUUGAAAUAGAAAAAACACAGAAUCCCGCUUGCGGGUUUCAGUGUUAUUAUGCAGGCGGGAUUUUAACCUGCUUGCUUGUAAACAUGUACCACAUUGCUCUGAAAUUAUCCCUUAAUUUAACUACCAUUAUAGCUAUGCGGCAAGAGUUCAAGUAUAGACAAAUAAGGAGCAGUAAAGGUUCAGACUAAGUUCUAAAGCAAAAAAGCACACAUCAAAAGCCAAUUUCCAAAAGCCUGCAUUAGAAAUAGUGAAACACAUGAUAAGAAAAAAAAACACAAUCUGAUUAAGAAAAGGACAUUUAAUAGAUUACACACUUCAAUGAAAACACAUGAUUACAAAAAAAUACAAUCUGAUUAAGAAAAGGACAUAUUGCAUAUCGCAUACUUCCAUGGACCACAUGACGGCCAAUAAGCCGACAAGCAAAAAUUAUUCAAUGUCCAAAUUGUCAAAACUUUAUCAGCAGCCAAAUCACUCUAUAUUAUUGAAAAUCAAGCCACCCACAUUUGACCCAAAUCUGACACUAAUCAACAAAUCUCAAACUAACAAAGUCGUAUUCUACCCAUGUUUAGUUGAAAUUCCGGUGAUUUUAGAACUCCCGAAUGCAAUUUUCUUUACCCUAAUCUUAAUGCAUAAAUUCAAUUCUAGUCGAUAAAAUACUCUAUGCUUAAAUAUGAUAAUACAGAUUGUCCCAAAGCAGCAAAAUUUUAAAUUAAUCAACGCUUAAGCAAAAUAAUCAUUGAUUUAUUAACUUUCCAAUGCCCGCUAGUUUCUGUUCAAAAACCAUGCAAGUGCAUCUUAUAUGCUAAAAUGAUGUCAAAAAACUUACCAGAUGCAACAACAGCUUUCGUGAUGCUCUUUCACAGCUACUUUUUGGUCUUCAAUGGUAGAUCUUUGUGGGUUAAAUUUCUCUCCUUCAUUCGGUGGUCAUGUUUUUCUCUCCUUUUCUCACGACAAAGACAGAACAAGGAAGAAUCUGACUCAUCUGCUUCCUUUUGUAUUUAUAUUAGGGUAAUUUGGACAUUUUGCCACGAAUCGUUACGGUGGGUGCUUUCCGUCUAUUUGCCAGUUCAACCCAAACCACAGGGGGUUUAUGUAUAGCUUUUUGAACGAUGGGGGGGUUAUGUGGUUUUUGCGAAAACCACAAGGGGCUAAAAUGUAAUUUGCCCUAUUUUAAAGGCUUAAGAUGUUGGGAAUAUUUGAUACUCCCUCCGUUCCAUUAAAAUUGUUAAUUUUUUUUUAUUUUGAAAUGCCCUAAAAUGUUGUCAUGUUGAGAAAGUGAAACCAUUUUUUGUCUCUUUUCCAAGUAUAGUCCGUUUCUUUAAUUAUAUGCAUAUUAUCAUUUAAAUUCGAAAUUUGAAUUUUUGGAGAUAAGAUUGAAAAGACAAGUACAAACAUCACAAUAAAAUUGCUAUUCUUAAAAGUUGCAUUCCCGAUGCAUGACAAAAUAAUUGAGAUGGAAGGAAUAUAAGUCGAUGAUUGUUUUAGGGUCUAUUAUAGGAGAUAACAUAGAGUCAUACGAAGGUCAACAAAGAUUUACAAGACAUAAGCAAGAAUAGAAAAUGAGAGAUUUACAAGACAUGAGCAAGAAUAGAAUAUGAGAUAAGCUAGACAUGACACAUUUAUACUGGAUUUUAUAAUAACUCCUUAAUCUGCAAUGAAAGAUGAAUUUUGGUCCAUCCCUUAUCAUUUUGGACCCUGAUUGACACCCAAAAAAAAAAAAAAAAAAUUCAAUUUAUAAAAAAUAAAGGGGGGGGGGGAGUGUAACUAGUUCUACAAAAAUCAUAUUGAGAUUCCAUGAUUAGUAAUUUCCGGAUAAAAGAUACUAUGCCUGUGCUUUAAUAAUUUUACUAAGAGAUAUAUAGGCAUCCCAACCCAGAAAAGAGGGACAAAAUAUGAAAAAAAAAGAAGAAAAGCUAAAUAUGGCCAAAUUUUGUCUAUUUCUUAAAGAGAAGUGUUCAAAUACGCAAAAUCUUUCAAAUCUAAUCUCGCCUGACAUUCAAGACGGCAUAGAUUGAGGAGUCAUCAUAUUUUAUUCCCUCUUCACUUUCGUACACGUGCAGGAGCAUGAGCUAGACAAGCAUGAAACAUGGACCUUGACUUGCAUUUAGUCCCGAUGGAAAGGGAAUUGAUUGCUCAACAUUGGUCAUUGAAUUAAUUAAGUCAAUAUAUUGACAGGGACUAAAUUUAAAAAUUUUAAAAAAGGACUUAGCACGUAUAAAUCUUCUACAAUAUGCUUAACGCUAACAGUUGCUAGACCAUUUGAAAAUGUUAAAACAUCUUAACAAUUUCUAUACGGGUUUGGCUAACAGGUGUUCUACGAACGCUCAUCAAAAGAGGGUUUCUCAUGUGUUGUUAAUAUCUUGCAAAAUUGUGUUUGGAUAGAAGUUUAUUUGAAAUAAUUAUGUAUCACUGCUUGAGAUGUGAUCUAUGUUAGAUAAAAAAGUGGUUCAGAAAAUAAAAAAAAAGUGUAUUGGAAAAUACGUUUGCGAUGGAUGCAAGUAAGUAAUUUUUGUACAAGUAUUUAACUAUAAGGAGCACAAUGAACAUGAAUAUGUGCAUUCAUAUGAUAAAUCAAGUAUAUUUUAGACGUACUAAUGAGUACCUUCAGAUUACUUGUUAGAAAAAGAAAAAUCAUUUUUAUAUAUUUUUUGUCGAUAUCCAUAGUUUUAGGCUUAAUAGUCUAAUAUCCGUACUAACUAGCGAUUUUAUAGCAAAUUAUUUAAUUAGGGAUUAAUCAAGGAUUUGGCUAAUGAAUGCUCCGGAGCACUCAUUAAGAUGGUUUCAACUGCUAAUUUUUUUUUGGGGUAAAAGUGAAACUAAUUCAGAAUAAUAUAUAAAUGUAGGGCGGUGUGAUAAAUGUAAGUAUGCCUAUUCACAUAGUAAGUCAGGUAUAAUUUAUGUUUUAACAAGUAUUCCAUGAGUACUCAUUCAAAAAAUCUAUUAAUAAAAGUAAAGCUCCCGGCUACUCGUCACAAAAAAUGAAUAUAUUAGUAAAAAUAAUGCUCGCAGAUUCUGAUCUGCGGCGGUACCCAGGUCCAAGCUGCCCAGAUUUCACCGUGCACGAACCAAAGCUGGUUCAUCUCUACUAAACAAAAUGAAUAGGAAAGGGGAGCAAGGGAUGGGAUAUUAAAAAUGAAACAUAAGGUUCGAAGUUCCUGAUUUGUAGGUGAUGCAUUAAUGGAUAAUCUAACGAUGUUGAGUAACGCCAAAAUAUAUAGAUGUUACUUCUGACUAGUACUAGUUAUAUUUUUUUUUAUUACGUUCAAAAUCUACUCUUGGAUUUUUGGAUUGUUUUCAGCCUAAUUACAUUUUCAGCUUUGUUGAGAAAAUGCUCUCAAUUGUUGACAUGACCAAAAGCCCAAGAUCGUGGACUUCAAAAUAUUAAGCGACUUCUCAUCAAGUUAUCCUAUAUCAAAAGAAAAGAAAAAGUGGGAUCCUGCAUCAGGGCCAGAUGAAGUAUUUUAGUUGGAGAAUCUUGAAUUUUUUAAUUCCGUACCAAACUUGGAUUCAGGUAAAGGAUAAGCAAAUUAAUAUGCCAUCAUUAGGGGAGAUUGAAGAAAUAAAAUUCUUCAAAAAUGGAGAAAGGGCAUAACCCAUUCUUCAUUUGCCAGGUGCAAGUCGAGGACUAACCACCUAAUCUAAAAUGAGCAAGCAAGAACCAGAACCCUUCCAGUUUCUUUAUGGUUGCAGACUUUUAAUGGAGAGAACACAACUCGAUCUUGGAACCUUGGGCUGUGUAGUUUUCUUUCCCCAUUAAUGAGUUUAUCACAUACUCCCUCCCUUUUUUUAUAACUGACGUUUAAGGUUUUGCACACCAAUUAAGAAAAGUUUUUCAUUGUUUAAAUCUAUACACUACUUUCCUUUUGUACCCUCAUUAAUUGUCCAAUUCACCCAUGUUUUCUCUCACUAGAGUACUAAAUGGUGCUGUUUUACUAGACCAAAAGCAAUGCAAACUAACUAGGAGUAGUAAUUAAGAACCCUGUAUUGGAAAAGAGAGAUAAAAGGGUAAAAUUGUGAAAAAUAAUUAAUGCUGCAUGGGGAUAGUAAAACGACAGAUAAAAGUACUCAAGGGCAAAUUUCUUAAACGUCAGUUAUAAAAAAAGGAGGGAGUACUAAAUAAUGUAUGGUUUGUUUGACGAGUGGCCAUAGGGCAUUCGUUAAUAUAUAUUUCAGGUGUUAUAUUUUUAAAAAUAUAAUAUUAAGUAGGAAAAGUUGAUAAAUACAAGGCAGGGUAAGUAAAAUUAAAUAGAAAAAGUAUAUAAAUAUAAGAGAGAAUAAUAAUUAUUAGUAUGUAUAUAUGUACGAUAGAUUAGGUGAUACUAGGUAUAUUAACGAAUGUCCUAAGGAUUCAGAUAGAAAAUCCCAAUAACGUAUUGAAAAGUAAAAGCAUCAUCAAAUUCUUAAUCUUAAGGCUUCAUAGGUCUUAUCAAUGUUGGUGUAAUCAUAUUAUUGUGUGUCCUACCUUUACCCCUAAUAAUACUAACUUUAGAAGGAUAUCAACACGUUCCUUUGUAGGAGGUGCAAACUAUUCGGACAAGUUUCUUUUAAUUUGAGAAACUUCAACAAGAUGGUAAACUCAUAUGCAGUCUAAAAAGGUUAAUUAAGUUAGAAAAUGAUCGUGUCUGCGUUGUGGUGAUCAAGAAACAUAAUUAAAAGGGACAAUUAAUAUUCUAUCCCACUCACAGGACGAUGAUAUGCACUAUAAUGGUACCUCAGCAGGUUUUUGACUGAUUUGCCUUUCUUUCGGAGUAUUUGGUGUCAUAAUUACACCUUAAUUGCUCUCAUCAUCUUUGAUGAUUUGGAGCAGCUAACUGAGAAAACGAAUGAUGGUCUACUUUUAGUUGGUUAUUUCCGUAAUCAAUUUGCCAAGUCAUCAGUUUCAAUUUUGGUUGAAACUUUGAAACAGUUGUUAAUUUUUAUAUUUAAAUUAUUCAUAUUUGUAUAAAUUCACAAUAAAUAAAAAAAACUGUGCUAAGGCAUGUGUAAAAUUCUAGUUGCUAUAAUAAAUAUGAAUUUUAGACAGGAACGAUUGCAGUAACAGUAAUGGUUUUUGAAAGGUUCACGAUUUUGAUCGCUCAAGAAAAAAAAAUGUAUGGCUCAAAUUACAAAAUAUUCAUUGUUUUUAAUACUAUGUGUGGAGUGUACAAAAAGAUUACUAAAUUUAUAUUGUAUUCAAAUUGAUUUACGUUGUGAACAAAUGCAUUUACGUUUUAUUGAAAUGCAUGAUACACUUUCGAGCUCAAUAAUUUCUAUUGUUACUGAACUUUUUAAGUUUUUGGAGACCUGAAAACUUUGGAAAUUACAAACUUCAAAUGGUUGGUGGAGUUCUGCUUAGACGUCAAAGGAGAAACUAAUUGCAUUUGGUAAGGUGAAGAAAGUACCAUAUUUUACCUCUGCAGGAUUUGACUAUAGAAAAAUUCUUUAGGGGUUGAAAUGAGGUUUCAGUUAGUAUUUUAACAAGAAAUACACACACACAUAUAUAUAUAUAUAUAUAUAUAUGUAUCUUAAUUUACACCAAAAAUAGAGAUAUUGUCUUCCUCUUCCGGAAGCUGAAGAAACUAAGGGAAAAUUAUUCCACAACACACACACAAAUAUACACACACAUUCAUAGGUUAUAAAGGAAAGAAACUGUAGACAUGAUACCUUACUAUAUAUAAAGCAACGUGGAGAGUUUGGCGUAAACAAAUUGAGUCAUUUAAUAUAUUACCUAAUUUAUUUUUAUUUUUAAAAAUAAUUAUAUCAUUUCAACUACUCAUUUCCAAACAACCACUCCACAUCCACUAAAAUUAACUAUCAUUUUUCUAACAAAAAACUACAACUUCACUAUAAUACAAAAAUAGUUUAACUCCUUUAAACUACUAUUUUACAACAAAAAACAAAUCAAAUAUUUUUAAUAUAUUUUUUGUUAAUUGCAUACGUAUUAGGUGUGCCUCAAGCAUUAAUAGUUUAUAAAGUAGCUAACUAAUUAAGCAUCACUAUUCUUUUUUUUUUUUUUUUUUUUUGUCGACACAGGGGCGUCCGGGUCAAUCCUUACGGGACCCGACUAAUCCCCUGCGGCCUGGGCCUUGGCGCCCCCCCCAACCCGACCAAGCACGGUAAGCAUCACUAUUCUAUUCCAAAUAAAUAUAGAUACUUCUUUUUUCUUUUAACAAAUAUAUAUAUAUACUUCAAGAUAUAUCAUUGUCAGCCAGAGUUGAUUAACUGAUUUUUCAUUGUUAUAUGGUUGAUAAUGCCAUUGAAUACGGAGCAUAGACCCUUUUACAUUAUGAUGCUGAUAGAAAUGGUUUUAUGCUGGACAUGUAGCGGAUCAUACGGCAGUUAAGUCCGGUCUAUCAAAUUACGAUGAAAAGAAUAUUAAACAAGUCAAAGAGAGAGAAAGGAAAAGAACUGAGAAAGUGAUGGAAACCAUAAAGAGGCGCACCAAUUAAGCCCAGAAUCCAGAUCUCACAUGGGGAUCAAGACUUGGGUCAUCUUUGAAACCCUGCUUUGAAGGCAAGUCCUUUGAAGUUUCAGGUACAUCUGGGGGAGAAUUGGUGCAAUGGCCCUAGAAGUUCUACAAAAUCUCAUUUUAGUUCUCAAAAUUAGAAUUAGAGUUACCAAUUUCCAAAAAUCAUAUGCAAAUUAGAAAAAGCAAUAGGUGUCAAAUGUGUCGUCAUAUAUCGACCACAACCAAAACAAUUCGACCGACUCUGUCAAGCAUAACUUAUUUAGAGUUUAUAUUUGUUUAUCAAAAUGAGCAUCCACAUAGUCUAUUACUCGAUCGUUCUUGCUAGUAAUUUAGCAUCAAUUAUCACAUCAUGCAUCACAAAUAGACAAACAUUUGCAUUUUGCAAAUAUUUCCCAAGGUGCAAUCUGGGACAACCGUGAUGCACUUUGAUCUAAAAUUUAAGGGCCAAAAUAAAAUGCUCUCGAAACUAUAAGGUCAGUUAUGACGAUAAUUUAGCAUGUCGGUUAACUAUGUUGACGGUGCAACAACUGUUCUGCAACUAAAGCUUAAAAGUCCUUCCAAAGACAGUAUAUGUUCUUUUGCCCAACUAACAAGUAGAGUAUCAAAUGGGCACAAGCAAAUAAAUGACAAUCCGUAAGUCCUCUGAUAAUAAAUAUGGAGAUAUUCUUGACAAUUAUAAUCUAAUAGUACUAAAUUAAGAUGCGAGGCACGUAUCACCGUUGGCCCAUCACUGUUUCUAUAAACCUAUGAUUUAUUUCAUAGUAAAUUAAUCUCAAUAUAAAGCCUGAGUGUUCAAGAGCAAGGGAUCUAAUCUAACUAGGUGAAAUUUGACACUACAUUGCACCUCAUGUCCAACACCAACAGAUGCUUGUCCUUAAUUUUUGACCGGACUUGGGAUAAUGGGGAACAUGUUAGGUAUGCUUUCCCUACCUCUCUCCUAUAUAGUCUAAGUUUCAUUUUCCCAACCAUCUCUUUUAACCUUCCAAUGGUUUAUUCCCCCUACUAGUAACAGGGAACCGAGGCCGAACCGCCAAAGUGAUCAAUUAGUCAUUUCUUCAACCCAACUUUCCCAGGAUACAAGUCACAGAGGGGAAAAGAAAAACCAUGAUUCAGUCUCAUGUGAGCUUCUGAAAUUUAAAGCCCCAUUUAUGAUUCUUGGCUUUGGUUAUCUUCCAAGUGAGUUUUGAGGCACCCUUUUUGGGAAAGAGAUCUGGGAUUUCUUCAAAAUCUUGUCUUUUUCCGUGGAGUGUAAAAUUGUGGAAGUUGAAGAGGCUUCAGGGAUCAAAGAGUCAUAUAGGCCGGUGGGAUUUCCAUAAUUUGUUCAUUGGAGCUAAGAAAGUUUCCAUUUUGGCAUUUAUUACGCCAAGAUUUAGUUGAUAUUGAGGUGGAAAGCUGUUCAAGAAUCAGUUUUUACAACUAGAGGUGCUGUGGUGGUUCUGUUUUUGAUUCUUUUAUGUCAUGGUUAAAUCAUUUAUGAGCAGAAUGCUAGCAGGAAAUGGCCUGCUAUAUCCAAUUCUUGGCUUUGCAUCGUGUAUUGCUUUCAUAUAUUUGUCAUUUGGGGACCUUUGGAUUAAUUUCAAUACAGAAACAAAGCUGAGUUUUGUGGAGAGGAAUGGGACUCACUUCUUUCUGGAUGGUAGAGUUUUUCACAUUAAUGGUUGGAAUUCUUACUGGAUGAUGGACCAUGCUGUGGAUGAACAUAAAAGACCUAGGGUGAAAGCAAUGCUGCAAGUUGGAGCGAAGAUGGGAUUCACUGUUUGUCGGACUUGGGCCUUCAAUGAUGGUGAUUACAAUGCUCUCCAGAUUUCUCCUGGUCGAUUUGAUGCAAAAGUUUUCAGAGUAAGCGAGUUUUGUUUCAUUUAUUGAAUUUUUGCAUUUGUUUGAUUUAGUCACAUAGUGUAGCCUUUUCAGGAUUUGAGCGUCAUAAUAAUUGCUUACCAUUGAUCUGUGCCUUUUUGCAGAUACUUUUUAUCAAUCAAAUCAUUUUACUAAUUUAUUGGAGCUAUGACUAGCUUGAGAAUUUUUCUUAAUUAACUGCGUAGACGUGAAAUCUAAAUUUCUAAGCUUUUAUUUGAACUAUGAAAAGAAAUGUGUAAACUUUGUAGGAUUAAUUUGACGACCCCAAAUUUCAGCUGAUUCUGGUUCACUGAACAAUUUUGUCUGCUCAUUUUACUCUUUCGCACUCUUGAAAGCCAAAACGUCUAACCUAGUGAACUGCAAUCUGUUAUCGCCUUUUCAAACUACUGAAAACUUGAGAAAACACUGAAGUUGAUGUCAUGAUUUUUUUCCUUCUGAUUAAGCUUUUGAUAAUUUCCAUGGCUUCUGGGAUAUAAGCAUUUAUAUUUGAAUUAAAUAACCAUUAUUUUUUAUUUCUUUGGUAUUAAUUUCUUGACAAAUGUAGCGUCAUAUUUUUCACUUUCGCGUUUACAACUUCAUUGACUGCAUGAGCUGUGUUAUUGUAGGCCUUGGAUCAUGUAAUAGCAGAAGCCAGACGACAAGGAAUCAGGCUUAUCCUUUGCUUAGUCAACAACUUGAAAGCAUAUGGUGGAAAGACUCAAUACGUCAAAUGGGCGUGGGAUGAGGGUGUUGGUAUAAGCUCUUCUAACGAUUCUUUCUUCUACGAUCCAUCCAUCCGUCAUUACUUCAAAAACUAUGCCAAGGUAACUUGUCAGUAUUCCUGUGUCAUGUUUGAGUCAAUUCUGUUCAGAAAGCUUGAAUUUCUUGUCUUAUUAGACGGCAGCUGAAAAUUACAUCACCUAUUAGGACUGUUUUAGUUUGAGUUUCCAGUCCAGUUUGUCUUGAAUUUCUUGUCUUAUUAGACAGCAGCUGAAAAUUACAUCACCUAUUAGGACUAUUUUAGCUUGAGUUUCCAGUCCAGUUUUCUUCUGUACAUCAAAAGGUGCUCUUGUUCGGUGCCAAAGUUCAUAUGACAGUACUCAGACAUCAUUAUUUUGUUGUUUUAGAUCAAUCCAUUUCCCAGAACCAACAAAAAUUUGACAGCACUCCUGAGAAAUGGCAAAAAAGAUUGUUUUUUUGACUCACUGUCUUUUCAAACGCAAAAACUUAUUUGAUUUCUUCUGAUCUGGGGCGUGGCCAAGCGGCUGCCGAAGAUGCAAGAAGAAACGAUGAGACAUCAUGAGUUUCUGCCUAGUGCCUGUGGUGACAGUUAGUGAACGUAGCAUUAUUUAGUUUUGUGGGACACCUUUACAAUGUUAUAGGUAUUUUAUGAGACAAUUUAGAUUGAAAAAUAAAAAUCAAAACUUGUACGAAUCCUUAAUGUGUUUCUGAAUCAUUGAUGCUGUAAUAAUAAUCACACAAUCAUAUGACAGUAAUUAAGUAUUUUAAGUCAAUAUAUUGACAGUUUUGCAAUUUUGUAAUGAGAGUCCUUCAAUUUUUCUUUAUUUCUCCGAUAAUAGCCUAUAAUAGCACAAAUUUUCUGAUUACAGCUCCAACAAUGUCCCAGAAUCUUCUCAGAAACUGGAGUUUUAAUCAGUAAAUAUCAGCUAAUUGGGUAAAAUGAUAAAAAAUUUUCUUUUAACACAGUUGGCCAGCGACAAGUAUUUGUAUUUUUUGUGCAGGAAUACGACGAUGUAACUAGUUUAACUCGUCUUUACUAGUAAAGAUACUAACUUAAAUGUUUAUUGCAAUCUCUUUGCACUGGCUUAAAUGAUAGACUAAAUAUAUGCGUAUCAAUCUAUUAAAUAAUGCAUAGUUUUGUGAGUUGGUCCUUGUUCUUGCUUGAAUAUUUGCAGCUGCUCAAUAAUGGUCAUGCUUCUUUGUCAGCAAUAUAAAUUAUGAAAUAAUGUUGUUACUGUAAAUUCUAUCAUGUCUCGUAAUUUCUAUAAAUCUUUCUCUUUCCAGACAGUUCUUACAAGAAAGAACACAAUCACUGGAAUUGAGUACAGGGAUGACCCUACUAUACUUGCAUGGGAAUUAAUUAAUGAACCCCGCUGCAUAACUGACCCUUCAGGUGACACUCUCCAAGUAAGUCUUUAGUCGCAUCCGCUGCUUUGAAUUUGUGUGUUGAUGAUGGUGUAGUCCAAAAACUAUACCAAGUGAAUUACAAGCAUCCUGUCUUUAUUAGCUUCAAUUGAUUUCCUGAACUCUUCUGGUCUGGAAUUCUGCAGUUUGAUGUAUAUAUUAUUUUGGCAGUAGUUAUAGUGUUUGACACAUUGUAGUGACUCCUGGCAUUAUUUUUGUAUGCUUGUGAUGAUCAAACUAAUAAAAGACAUUACUAUUUUGUUGCUAACUUGCUAUUACUGUGAUCAUUUUAGUAACUCCUAUCCCUUAUAGCUUAAAUUGAUUACUUAAUUCUUCUGGCCUGGAAUUCUGCAGUUUGAUUUAUAUAUUAGUUUGGCCAGAAUUUAUGGAAUUAGACCCAUUUUAGUGACUCUGCACGUUAAUCAAUGUAUGCUUGUGAUGUUCAAACUAAUUACUACAAGCUAUUACCAUGUUGUUACCACGACCAUGAUACAUUAACUUAUCUUGCUUGCUCAAUGUGUGGCACAUGCUAGUUUUUCUGCUUAUUUACGCUACAACUGGUUUGUGACUACAUAAGCAGUUUUAACUUCUGAUUAUUUCUUUAGAUACCUAAAUCAUCAGAUUCUGUGGAACAUGGUGCUGAGAACUAGUUGUUGCCUGCAAGGCAAGUUUAUGUAUCCAUAGUCUGUAAAUUUUCUAGACUUGGAUACAAUUUUUCUACUAUCUUUCCAGAAUGCCACUAAAAAAUUUACAAAAUAUCCAUCCGCUCGGUCAAAGUUUCAGAUAGCUUUUAUUUUAUUUUCCAAAGUCAUUUGGAUGAAGGAGGCAUUUUCUUCACUGAUGUUUCUGCUAGUUAUGACUUAUUGGCCCAUGGGGGAAGUUCUCUUAGUCCAGAUGUUGAUCUUUUCUCUUCAUAAUGAUUACUUUUAUGUCAUAAAAAUGCAGGACUGGAUUGAAGAAAUGUCAACUUAUGUAAAAUCAAUUGACGGGAAUCAUCUCAUAACUGUGGGUCUUGAAGGAUUCUAUGGUCCUAAAAGUCCAAAAAGGUUGACUGUCAAUCCAGAAUUUUGGGCUGCUGAUCUGGGAUCUGAUUUCAUUCGCAAUUCCAAGAUCUCAACCGUUGAUUUUGCCUCUGUCCAUAUUUAUCCUGACCACUGGUAAGCUCCUACUGGUAUUGCAUUUUAAGCUCUUUUCAAAAAUCUCUUGAUUUCCAUUUCCCUACUGAAGUCACCUUGAGGCAGAAGCUGUGAACCUUGGUUGUUUUCUGGGUAAAAAUUUGAGAAUAAGUGAAUGGAGAAAGCUUUGAAACUGCAAUUGGAGUCAUAUGGCCUGGGACAUAUCCGGUUCUUUCCCGUCUGUACAGAGAUUCAAUGCCAUUUUGGGUUCUUGUUAGCCGCAUGUGCUAUAUUUAACUUGAUAUUUUCAGACAGCUACAUUUUUUUUAUUGGUUAGCUUCAUUUUCUUCUCAUGGAACAAAUGAUUUAAAACCAUGCUAUGGGUUACUUAUUUGUAGGUUCCACGAUCAAGCCUUGAAGAAAAACUCAAAUUUGUUUCUAAAUGGAUGCUUUCUCACAUUGAAGAUGGUGACGGAGAGCUGAAAAAGCCUGUACUUUUUACUGAAUUUGGACUGUCAGACGAAAACAAGAAUUUUACGCCGUCUCAAAGAGAUAAAUUCAUGAAACUUAUUCUUGAUAUCAUCUACAAGUCUGCAAAAAGACAAGGCUGGGGCAGGAUCCUUCGUAUGGCAAUUCUUUGUUGGAGGGAUGGAAAAGUACUAUGACGAUUUUGCAAUUGUUCCGUGGGAGAGGCCAUCAACAUAUCAGUUAUUUACACGACAAUCAUGUAAGUUAGCUGCAAUUCAAGGAGUUUUACCUUCACAGAAGCAACACUUGAAAGAUUUCUGUUCGCAUAAACAAUGAUCUAAACAUUCGCUUCUUAAGGAAUAUAGAAGAUAAAAAAUACGUCUGAAUUUCAUUUGGUAACUUCACAAAUGAAUGCCACAGGAGAAAUGUGGUCUUUCUUUUGUCACUUCUCCUUAGUCUAUAUGUAGUAGGCGAGCUACAGGCAUUUAGUAGUUGUGCACUUUACUCGCACUCCAUUUCUGUAUAAUUUUGGAGUGUAAUACUUUCUGAUUCUUUUAUGCAUUGUUGAUAAUUUGAUAUUCAGCUGACUAAGAAUGUGGCCAAGUGAGAAACUAACAAUCAACGAGCAGUAUACCUUCUAACGAGCAAAAUACUUGUUGUAUACAUACAUCUGUCGGUUGUUUGUUUGAUAUAACAUCGUAUCUGAUCCGGUGGUGACUAGAAUCAAAAUCAUUCAAACUUUUUUGUUACAAAAAAGAAAAAACAAAAGGCGUUGUACUGUUUUUUGUACGCGCUUUCUUGUGUAAAUUAUAUCUGUACUUAAAAAACCAGUUCUGACAAUAGUGUCAGAAUAUUUGGAUACCACACCAGUACAGCAAGUUUGACAGAGCAGAAAUUACACCCUUUUUCCUUCGAAUUUUGUCUCUAAAUUUGCCUCAACAGUGGAGGCUUGCCAGUUAUUUUGCUCAUUGCUAAGUUGGCCUUGGAUAGUUAGGGUACCAUAACUGCAACAAGAAAGCAACUUCUUCUUGUUGUAUGGAUGAAUGGCCAAUAUUGUUAUACCGACAAAAUCAUGAAAAGGGGUCUCAUGGAUCAUCAGAUAUAUUUGUGUUGCGUGGAAGAAAAGCAGAUAAAGUGAGAACCACACAUUUUGAUAUAAUAGUGCUGCAACUGCAGCUCUCCAGCCCGGAUUCGCUGAAACUUUUGGGGUCUUAAUCUACAAACUCAUGCCAAAAUGUGAGCCACAAGGCUCACUUUAUUUGUGCUUCUCAAGAUAAUCAUAUAGUAAUUGAUUACCUUUGCAAAUGCGCCAAAAAAAAAAGUCUGUUCUACAUCGGAAAUUCCAAAUCCACUAAGGCCUAAAUCAUUAUUGUAAUCCUUUGUGGUCCAUCCAUUCCUACAACAAUCGAAAUUUUAUACUGUCAUCUUUGAAUGUUUACUCUUUUUUUUUAACUUUUUUUUUUUUUUUUAUCAAAUGAGGAGGGGAGUUUAAGAAGGAAGGAAGGAAGGAGAAGCAGAAGUUGAACUUAAAAUUUCUAAUUUUUGAAAUUUCUACCUUCGUUAUCUAUGAAUAUUUGCUAAUUAACCAAACACAACAAUAUUUUAAAACAUUAAUUAGAGGUUUUUUUUCUCUUCAGUUGACUCAUAUAAUAUAGCAGUCAAAACAAACGGGCUUGAAACUGAAUUCAGGAUCAAUCAGAAUUGUAUUAAGCCCACAGCAUUUGAUAAACUCUACCUUGAAUUUCUGAGGAAUUCAUCCAUGUUACAAAACCUUGGAUAAGGCAUGGAUUAGGAGCAAAUUUUCUUCCAUACAAUAGGACUUUAUGCGUUGGAAAUAAGUAAAAGAUGGUCCAUCUCAUAAGUUUUAGUAUUUGGUAGAAAUAAGCUCUGAGAAUUUUCUUCCAAGUUCAACUCUAUUGAUACAGAUACUAACUACAUAAGCAUGAAAUCUUUGUUUCUAUUCUAUUCUUUAGUUCUUAUUUUUUUUCUAGAGGUUUAAAGUCUUCUUUAAAUGUAAAAGAGAGGAAACAAAACUCUUCGAUUUUCCAAAGACAUCUAGACUUCAAGUCUUCUUAUUACAGUUAGAAGUUGGUGGCAUGUUUACAUCCUCAGGAAAAUCAUCAUUCCUGGAAAGAUUCUAAUGUUAAUAUUCAAUGUAGGACAGAUGUAGAGUAUCUGACUUGUGGUCUCAUUUUCCUGAUAGAAACCCAAAGCUGAAAACGAUUUAGAAAAUAAAAACCUAUGGCCGAAAUUGGAAACAGCUAAAGAAUAAAUAGCUUUAGAACCUAGUUAUAUAUAUAAAAAAAAAUGAAAUUUGAGUAUAAAUCUUAGAAAUCUAUACCAGUUGGCUUCUUCUAGAUUCAAAAUGUGAAUCAGUCCCCGUCCAAAAUGACUUCAUAUUAUGAGUUUGUAGGACAACUUUGCAAGAAACCUCUAAUCUAGAAGUGGUACUCUGAUUUCAUAUUUGCAUUAUUGUUAGUCCAAGUUUGAUGGGUCAGUAUUUAUGUCUUUCUUCACUAAUCUGCAGAUUUCAAACGAGUAUGAUGAUGCUGAUGGUGAUGGGCCUUAAUAAUAAUGCUUGUUGACGGCAAAAUAAGUAUGAGAAGAAAAAAUGAAUUGAUGAUAUUGUUUUAAAUAAUUGGGGUAUUGGUGCAAGUUAGAAAGCGUAAAUAUUUAUAGUACUGCAAGAAACAUUUGAUAUAGUCAUCUGUCAAACUUGUCAGGCUUCAAGAAGUUUUAAUUAAUCUGUCCAUGACUGAUAAUUUAGUAUAUAGUCUUAUGUGGAAAUUAUCCCACUUUCACAGGAACAUACGUGUUCUUUUGAUUCAGAAUAAAAUAAAACCUGUGUCCUUUUUUUUUUAAGGUAAAAAUUUGAAUGGGCUCGACUCUGAUCAUCACCACGAAUCGAAACAUGAUUUCGAAACAGUAAAUCGUUUACUGAGAUUCUUAUAAAUCAUUCACCAACACAGUUGUCAGAGUUGGCUUACACGUAUCCCCUCUACGUUAAUGUAUCUUUAGUAUUCUCUUCGUCCCACUUUGAUAGUCCUGUUCUUUUUUUUUUUACACAGUUUAAGAAAAAGUAGUUAACUUUGUUAGAACAAUCAAUUUAGGUAGUUAUUUUCCUAAAAUACCCUCACAUUAAUUAGAGUAUAACUUUAUGAGAACUUGAAUUGAUGGUAAAAAAAGAAUCAACUUUUAUUAAAUGGGGUAGGUUUAUAGUAACAACAACUUACAUUGAAUAAGGGUAUUUUAGGAAAAUUAAAAUAUAACUACAUUCUUCAAUUGGAAAGUGGACUAUAAUUUGAGACAGACAAAAAAGGAAAACAGGACUGUCAAAGUGGGAUGAAAGGAGUAUUAUUUUGUGCAUGACUGCAACUAUGGACACACAUUGGACCGGACCGGAACCCAGCCUUAGGCAGCUUAUGACCACAAAACAGGAUUCUAUGUAUUCUGUUAUGAAUAAAUAUGGUACCACAAAUGAAAUCCUCCUUGCACAACUACUGAUGGACACCUUUUAAGCUAGGUUGUUGCAACCACAAGAAACUGACGCAAGUUCUUGAAUCAUUCACUCCUACUAUUACAAUUCCUCCAGGAAUUGGUAAACUUUUUUCAACUUUUCUCGCUUUCCUAUUACAACAACUGCAGGCCAUAUAUGCUGACAAAUUAUAAAGAAAAUGAUUUUUUUUGGUGACGCAGGGAUAUCCCAACAUUUUUGCUGGACUAAUCCCCUGCGACUGUACAGAGCCCCGUCCAUGGAUGCACAGUAAUAUUAGCAUAACAGGAUUCGAACUGGUGACUUACGGGAUGCUAUCGUAUGUGAUCACUAGCGGAGCUCCCUGAUGGGAGCAUAGAGAAAAUGAUUGAGUACUAGUUUAGAUUUGUGUAAACUGUAAUCAUGGCAUUCUUGAAACAUCACCCAAGUUCAAUCAUUAUUUUGUUUUCAUUGAAUCAAUAUGUGCAGCUACAAAAAAGAAAAAAAAACACUGAUAUAGUACUGGAAAAAGAUAAACAUUUCACAUAUUAGUGGUAACAAAAUUAGAUAAUCUAAAUUGAAUUGAAGCUGCUGCAAAGAUAUAUUUAUAUUUCUUCUCAUCUUAAAGCAAAUUUGAAUUCACAAUUCAAAUGCUUAAUUACUAAUUAAUCAUUUGAGCUAUCGUCUUGUCUGUUACUAGAAAAAUUCAAAAAUUGAUUUAAAUUUUAGUGGAAGUCUAUGAAUUAUGAUCGGUUAGAGUGUUAAUGGGAAUUUGUCCUAAUCGUGCCUUAAGUAAGAUGUUGGAUGCCAUGAUUAGGAUGCACUUGGCUUAGAGAAUUGCUAACCUUAAAACUUAGAAGGCAGAAAAAAAAUAAAAGAAGCUUCCUCUUUUAGUCAAAUGAAGAAGCAAAAAAUAUAAUAAGAAACAAUUACGACUUAGUGUUCAAAGUUGAGGACCUCGUCAAAGUAUACGUACGUCACCUAUCACAGCUGUUCCUUCAACCUUAUGUUCCCAUCAUCAAAUAAAUUUUUUCAACAGUCAAACUGAUUUAUCAUUAGAAGAAAACGAAGGUUUUAUCAUUAGAAAACGUUAUUUUUGUUUUUAGUUCUAUCUAAGGGUUUAUACCAACGUUUUACAAAGCGACUUAGGAGUUGAAGGGUUGGAAGACGGUGGAAAUUGUAUUCCACAAGUUGAGUACGUGGAUCAAGUGGACAACAUAAAAAUCCCACCUCACAUUUGAAGUCAAACCACAGAGCUCAAUUGCUGUUUGAAAAUGGAAAUUGGUGUUGGCAUUUUCUCAUUGAAAUAUCAACCCACUUUAGCAAUCCCACUCCAAAAUUUUCUUCAAUUUUUUGUCCACAUUAGACCCCAUUAUAUUUUCAAGGGCAAAAUAUAUGGUGGAUUCUCGACCUAUUAACGUUGUACACUUUUAGCCAUUCAAUUAUUAUUCAUAUAUUUUUAGCCCUCUUAUUUUAAAAAAUGUAAAUUUCUAGCCCUUUUGUCGAUUUUAACAUUUAGUCCUAACGAAAUCUAUCUCAAAUUGAUAUAAUUUUGAUUAUCUUCAAUCUUCCAAUUGCAUCUAAUCACCAUUGCAACUACUACAUGCAAUGAACAACCAUAGAUUGUUAUUGACUAAUAAUUGACAACUAUUAUAGUGUUGUUAAUAUUAGAUGAAAUUACAUUUUUAGAAUCUGUUUUUUAAUUAGAUUCCAAUUCUAAACUUCUAUGAAUCUUGCUAGUUAUGAGUAAAUUUUGCUUGUGUAUUGUGCAUGACGUAGUUUGUGUUGGUUUUAACAUUUCGAAUGAACAAAAGGGUUAGAAAGAUACGCUUUUAUGAGUUAGUGGGCUAAAAAUAUACAAAUAAUAGUUAGAGGGUUAAAAAUAUACUGACUUAAUAAUUUGAGAGCCAACCAGACAAUUUGUCCUAUUUUCCAAUAAAGUAGUGUAUCAUAUAUGCCCACCCUAUUUGGUUCUAAGGACCAAAACAAGAUUCAUCUAUCUAUGGUAUACCAAUAAACUAGAAACAGAAAAAAAAAAUGUUUUUUGGGGUUCUGGUUACAGUUGAUCGACUAGGUACUGAAGUCCAAAAAUGACCAAUUGAAUGAUAGGACUGACCUUUCCAAGUGUGGGACGCUUAGUCUUAGGAUUGAACUACCAACAAUUGAAAUUGCCGAUGAAUGGUUGCUCAACUAAUAUAUGGUGUACCAAUUGGUCGCUUUGCUGUUCUGAUUGGAAAUGUCAAAGAAUUAGAAAACAGCAGGUAAAGAUAAAUAAAAUCUAAUAAUAAGAAUUUUAUUUUCAUCGACAUCAAAAGUGUGUAAUGCCAAAAGUUGACGUAGAAUUGGUGCAGAUACAAAAAAAACCAUCAUGUUUUUUGGUUUCGAUAUUACAAAUUGAUGUUUCUUGCAUCAAUUGAUGAUGGGUUUUUGUAACUAUUUCAGCCAAAAUACUAGGGUUUAAGUCUUGAAUCUUCAUGCAUCGAUUAUCAUACCUUGAACUAUUUUUCUUUAAUUUUUUGGUGAUAUCUAGGUAAUUGUUUCAUUAGUAAUCACCACAAGAUUAUUACCCCCUUCAUAGGUAAAACUUGAAAGCGAAGCUAUACUAUAGAAAAGAGACGCAGAAAGCGAAUGAUGCUUCAUGCCGACUUUAAAACUAAUCAUACUAUCACUGUUUAUCUCGUUGUCAGGUUUCCAUUGGCAUUGAUUCGACUGUAUAACAGAAACGAACAAGCUUGACUCAUCAACUUAGCCAUUUACAUUCCUUCAAAAAAAAUUAGUUAUAUACAUUAUCAAUCAAACAGAAAAAAAAAGAAAAGAAAGAAAGAUACAUGAUCUCUGUACUGAAAUUCUGUAUGAUUGUAAACCCUAAGGAGGUAAUUCAGGAAAACCUCCUUACCAUGGGCACAGGAAAUGAAACCUUUUGAAAAAA
RNAcentral lists this long non-coding RNA (84839 nucleotides) under Coffea arabica (coffee). RNAcentral describes it as "long non-coding RNA (CARA_LNC003549)". The record is from RNAcentral. Lineage: Eukaryota; Viridiplantae; Streptophyta; Magnoliopsida; Gentianales; Rubiaceae.